AGUCCACAAGUAAUUAUGCAAUUCAUCCUGAAAGAGUUAUGAUUGCAUAUCUGAUGUACAUAUUUGCCCAUCUGGGUUCUGUUUUUCAGUUUUACAUUUGGUGUUUGAAGAAACAAUAUGAUGGGUUUAAGUACUACACGGCCACUAUUUGUGAUACAAACCAUAGUAAGAGAUGGGUUUAAGUACUAUGCGCCUAUGCGGCUAACACUCCUGAUACAAACCAUAAUAAGAGUAAUAUAUUUCUCCACCUGUUUAUUAAAGUUUUUAACCUUUUUUUUUUCUAAUAUAUCUUCUAAGAACUAGGGAGGUGGUGGAUAAAAUUCAGAUUGAAUUUUUAACCUCAUAUCUUCUCAGAAUUGGAAUUUGGAUGACCUUUAAAUAAACUACUUGCAAACUACUUACGAAAUUUGAAUGAGCAUUAAAUAAAAUUAUUUGAAAACUACUUCCGAAAGCUUUUUAAUUUCUGUGUUUCAUUUUGUUUUUAAUAAUUUAAAAAAUGUAACCUGCAAUUUCUGCAAGUAAUCAGAAAGCUACAAUAGAAUUUGCUUGCAUUUAUCUGAUUAAAAAGGCAUUACAGAUUUUGUAUGAUACAGUCAGUUUUUAUAUCAUAUAAUAUCCCAGAAAUUAUAAAUUAAUUAAUAAAAAAAAGAACCAAAAUAAGUCAAAUAUAGAUCCUUAAGUGGUCAUCAUUAAACAUUUGUUCACAUAUUAAUUACUCAUUUUCUUGAGAUUAAUAUAUAUACAAACCUAUGCCUUAAAUUACUUUCCAAUGUUUUCUGCUCGCGCAAUGAAAAAUUUAAGACAUAGAUAGGGACCAGCAAGGGCGGCAGCUGUCCUAAUAAAUAUUAUUUUUCUAGAAUAUUAAUUUUAAAUUUCAAGCAAAUUUUUUAUUUGCCCCCUCAAUAAAGCUUUUGAUUUGCACCCAUGAUGAGCUUUAAAUAAAAUACGAUAAUUAUAUUUUCAUCACAUAAAUUACUUUAAAUAAGUAGAUUAUUUACUAGAUUAAAUGCAUUAUAUGCCUAAAUAAAGAAAAAAUUCUUUUGAGUAAAUUAAUAUUUCCCAGCAAUUCACUAAGUAUGGCUUCACAGUUCAAAAAGAACAACUCUAAGCACUAUAAAUUUUUAGUAAAAAUAAUAAAAUAAUAUAUAAGAAAAAGAAUAACAAUACCUCCUUACUCCUUAGGUUAAGGAAAUGGCGAAAGAUAUCUCUUUGUUUUAAUAAAUGGUCAUAUGAAUCCAUUUUCAAGAUACACAUGCUCUUUUUUUAACACAAACUUUUUUUCGUGUUAAAAAAUAAUCACAGACUUACAUAAAUCCUUAAGAUUUAUUCAUAUAGUCUGUAUUUACUAUAUCACGGAAGUAGAGUGACUAACUCCCUAAUAUUUGUUGGCACAUGCUAUCCACGAAUCAUGAUAGAUUAGUGCAUGGAUAAAUAUUGAUAAUCUAAAGUGAUUUGGCAGUUUUUUAGUUAAUUUUGUUAAACUCGUGGUCAAGAAGUGUAGAAUAUGACAACUAUUCAAAAUUAUUUUUUAAAAAAAAGAAGGAAAUAAUUUUCAGCCAAUUUCAUAGACUUCUCAAUCACAUUGGGUCUAGAAUUCGAGCAAAGCUAGAGGUGGUAAUAUCCUAUAUGAAUUUGUCAAGUUUUGAUUGACAAAAAUUGACCGAAUUAAUAACACUUUCGUUGAUAAAGGAUAGAAUUUAUAAAAAAUAAUGUUUAAUUUUUCUGAAAUGCUAACUCCACACACUGUGGUUGCCUUGGCUGCGAAAAUAUUAUCAUUAUUGUGUGAAUGGGAUGUUGAGAAAAAAAGAUUUUUUUUUUCAAUGACUCUAAACAAGUAAUGAUAUUAGUGUUGUAAUGUUAAAAAGUCAACUGAGAUUAAAGAAUCCUUUAAUGUGUGAUGGAGAUUUACUUUUAUAUUCGAAGUCAUGCUCAUAUUAUUAUAUUGAUUGUUAAAAAAGGAUUGAAAUAAGUUGAAGAAGAAAUAGAAAAUGCCCAUGAGAGUAUAAAAUAUGUCAAAGGGUCAAAUAUGAGAAAAAAAAAAUUCUUCUAGUGUGUUAAGUAUUUCUAGAUGACAAGAAAAUGUUAGGAAAUUGGUGGGUGAAGCAGACACGCAGCUAAAAUAAAAUUAGAAGAAAAAUAAAGAACAAGCACAAAAGAGAACACCAGAAAUUACGUGGUUCGGCUUUUAGCCUACGUCCAUGGGCAAAAACAGAAGGAAAAUAUUAUACUAGUAAAAAGAAGUUACAAGUAUUGUAGUAUUUUAGCUCAUUACCCAAAACUCGAAUACACCCAAACUCUCAAAUCACUAAACACACAAAACUCUCUGCUCUGCAAGAAUUACUUCUCACAACUCUCGACUCUCUCUACAAAAUUGGAUUCAAGCUCUUAAAUUAAGAACUUGUAUUUAUAGGCAAAACUUUGCCAAGAAAGUCAAAAAGAUGGCUUUGAUUUUCAAGCAAUAUAGCUGCAAAUUUCAAGUUUUCAAACUUUGAAAUUUUGAGCUUUGAAUUUUUCUUUUUCUUUUUCAAACAUCCGGUGCCAACCAUUUUGCUUCUUCAAACCUUCUAGAUGCAGUUUCUAGAUGCUGCAGCCAAAUCUUUUGACAUUCUCCUACUUGGAGAUUUGAUUGAGGAUCAAUCAAUCUCCACACCAUCCUUUCUGCUUCGCCAUAAUCAUGUUGCCUACGUUUCUGCUAGGCCACAAGAGGAUCUACUCCAGAUAAACUUGUCAGCAUUGAUCGGCUUGGUCAAAACAUCUGCUAGGUUCUCCUUCGUAUGGAUUUUUUAUAAAUCCACACUUCCGUCUUCCACUACUUCUCAAACGAAGUGAUACUGAACUCCUAUGUGCUUUGUCCUGGAAUGAAAGGCUGGAUUCCUUGCAAUGUGCAAGGCACUCUGACUGUCACAAAACACAGAAAUUUUCUCUUGUUUGUGACCGAGCUCCUCCAAUAACCUUUGUAUCCAAUAGCUUCCUUGCAAGCUUGUGUAGCUGCCAUGUAUUCUGCUUCUGUUGUAGAUAAGGCCACAACGGUCUGCAGUUUUGAAACCCAGCUUAUAGCUGCUCCCGCAAGUGUAAACAUAUAACCAGUAGUGGAUUUUCUUUUAUCAAGAUCUCCUGCAAAAUCUGAAUCCACAUAUCACCUGACAGUAAACUCUGAUCGUCCAUAACAUAACGCAAUAUCAGAGGUUCCUCUGAUGUAUCUCAGAAUCCUCUUCACAGCUAUCCAAUGCUCUCCACCAGGAUUCGUCAUGUAUCGACUGACUACUCCCACUGUUUGUACAAUGUCCGGUCUAAUACAUAUCAUAGUGAACAUCAAACUUCCCACUACUGAUGCAUACGGUACUCGAGACAUCUUAUUCCUCUCUGCUUUAUUGCUAGGACACAUACUUGAGGAUAAUUUAAAAUUAACAGGAAGUGGGGUAGAAAUUGACUUACAAUCUUACAUGUUGAAGUGCCACAAGAUUUUCUUCAAGUAGUUCUUCUGUGAAAGCCAAAUCUUCCUAUUAUUUCUGUCUCGGUGAAUUUCCAUCCCUAGAAUCUUGUUUGUUGGUCCCAAAUCCUUCAUUUGAAACUCCCUAGCCAACUGUGCCUUUAAUUCUUAAAUUCGAUCUUUGUUGGGGCCUACUACUAACAUAUCAUCCACAUACAACAGCAAAAUAAUGAAAUCAUUAUCUUCAAACCUCUUGUAAUAUGCACAAUGGUCUGAACUGAAUCUGUUGUAUCCAAGGCUCAUAACGAAGGAAUCAAAUCUCUUAUACCAACACAUCGACGCCUGUUUGAGACCGUAUAGAGAUUUGUUCAACCUGCAAACCAACUUCUCCUUUCCUAUUUCUGUAAAACCUUCUAGUUGGAGCAUAUAUAUUUCUUCUUCAAGUUCUCCAUGAAGAAAUGCAGUUUUCACAUCUAACUGCUCAAGAUGUAAGUCAAAUGUAGCACACAUCGCCAAGACUACUCUAAUUGUUGUGAGUCGAACCACCAGAGAAAAUAUCUAAUUGAAGUCAAUAUCUUCUUUCUUAGUAUAUCCUUUCACUACCAAUCUUGCACGAUACCGCUCCACUUGGUCAUUGCCAUCACGCUUGAUCUUGUAGACCCAUUUGUUUCCAAUGGCUUUUCUUCCAUGUGGUAGUGGUAUAAGUUUCCAUGUCUUGUUCUUGUGUAGAGCUUUAACUUCUUCCUACAUUGUUGUCAUCCACAAAGCAACAUCUGAGCUGUUUAAAGCUUCAUAGAAAGUUGAAGGCUCUCCAUCCUUCGUUAGAAGACAGUAUAUGAUAACUCUAAGAAAUAAGAGUUAUUACAUCAAUUCUAAACUUAAAUCAAGAUUAUUUAGAGAGCAAAUAAGAUGUUUUUACUACAUUUCGGUUACCUUUUGCAUAAACAUUCAUUUUAGUUGGGUUUUAAUAAGUUUUGUUUAAAUCAAGUAAUUUGUGCUAAAAACAGGUGUAUAAUUAUAGGUUUUAAAUUCAUAAAAGGAUGAUGAGACAUUAGAUGAGUAAGAGGAGGAAAGAAGAUGGCUACAAAAAAAGACAAGCACAAUCGGGAAUAAUGCAGUGCUGUUGUGGAUACUAGAGCAACCAGUGCUGCAGCAAUCAGAGAGCAAUGCGAGAGAAAGCUUAAAGCGUGGGUCAGCCAUAAAAUUGCGAUCUGCAUGUUUCCUAAUUUAAACGCAUGCACGCACAUGGACUUUGGGUCGUUUACCCUAAUUUGCAAUAUAAAAGGAGGCGUGCACCACAUAGAAAGGUGGCAAGGAAUUAUUAUCAAACAUAAUUACAAAGGCAAGAAGAAGGAGAUCAAGAUUUAGGAGUGCUAUUCGGAAACAAAAAAAAGGACCGUGCAGAAUUAUUUUGUCUUUCAUCGUGCUCAACUUAUAUUUUUUCUUCUUCCUUGAAUUGUUUGGAUGUAUUCCGAGAUCAAUAUAUUUGUGUUUAUUUUUCUCAUCCAGAUUAUGAACUAAAUUUACUUAUGGUUGAGUGACAAAUAAUCCAAUGGCACUACUAGAAAAAUGAGAUUUACUGAUACUAAAUUAGUGUCAGUAAUUACUUUUCCUGACACUUGUUAAUUGUGUCAAUAAUGCUCCAGCCAGAACACACUGAUACUGAAAAUUAGUGUCAGUGAUUUUUGUGUCAAUAAUUUUUGUCACAAUAAUAUCACUAAAAUAAUGACACGAUGGUAUCAGUGUUUAAUGAUAUUAUUUACAUGUCAAUGAUUAAUGUGACUACAAUAUCAGGAGCACAUUGAUUCAUUAACGUAAAUUAUUAUUCAUGUCAUUUUAAAAUAUUUAGUGUCAGUAUUUAUUGAUGUUAUGCUGCUUUUGUUAAUAGUAUAUUUUUAUUUUAAUUAUAUUUUUUUUCUACAAUCAAAAGAAAACUCAAAAUAUAUUAAAUAUACCAAAUCUCACAACACAAUUCACAUAACAAACAUUCCAAAUACAUAAUUUAAAUUAAUGUAAUUCAACUACACCACUGUUUGGAAAAGAAAAACAUAAUUAUCAAAUUAAGCUUUCGACAAGUUCUAGACAAUAAAGUACUAAAUUAAGUUUCAACAAACAUUAACGGACAAAAAGAAGCACAAGAGUGUCAAUAAAUAUCCAUAUGUGGCUUCAUUUUUUUCCCACCUACAAGUACAUAAAAUCAAUUAGUACACAACAAAUAAUAAAUCUUGGAUAUUUGGAAGAAAAAAUCAUCAUAAAUUACUCAUAUAUUACCUUGUGAUUUUGGGCUAUAAUUAACUUGGCAACAUAUGUAGCCCAUUGAUUAUGAAGUCGCAAGAGCUCUUUCAUGACGUACAAGCAACAAUAUUGUAACAUAUCCCCACUAAUAACAACCUCGCAAUUAAUCCAUAUAAUUGUUUUGUACAUCUCAUGGUUAUUCACAUAAUCUCUCCAACAAUACGCAGUGUGCCAAUCAUUAAAUGUUCAUCAGUUAAUUAAUAUAGAGAGAGACAAAAAUUUUUAAAAAGAAUCUAGCUACCACUUUUUUGAUCGCUAUCAUUAACCUCUCUUAAAUCGUAAGUGAGUGAUGUGCAGUAAGACGGGCCUUAGUGGCUUUUAAUAAGUCGAGCUAAUUCAUAAGUGAAGUAACUAAUAAAAAUUAAGACUUAAAAUAAAAAAAUGUCUUCAUAUUCUUUAAUGGCCUUAUAAGUUUUUUUGUUUUUCAUGUUUGGUCAAUGAAGAGAGUGGGAUUCUGGUGGUUGUGUGAGCCGCUAGAUUUGCCAUGCUGGCGAUCAUGGAGUUCUAAUUUUUGGCUAUUAGGUUGAAGCAAACAAAUAUUUAGGCUUAAGUACAGUGACAAUUUGACACAACUAUCAACGAAGUUUUGCAUGCAAAACACAACUUUUAAAAUGAAGAAAUGAGAAUAAUGUCAAAUAAAAAAAGAAUAAUUGAAUAAUUCCAUUUAAGUAUUUAACCAUUCAACUUUUUAUAUGAACACAAGUUUAGCACUCACGCGCUAAUAAAUUUUGGCUGUGAAAACUAUUUAGUUGGAGUAGAGAUACAAACAUGCAAAAUUUGUAAGCUCAUGUUUAUUUGACAUAUAUUUCUCAAAUAAAGAAUGAUGCAGAAGCAAAUCCUUUAAUAAUUGUAAAGGCAUAUCAUUUAAACAAACAAGAAAACUGCAUACCAUGAUGAACCCCUUUCAAAGUGUAAGCUGGUCAGCACAAACCACUUUCAAAGUGUAAGAUAGUCAGCACAAACCACUGAGUGCCCAAAUUCGCAGAAGAAGCAGGUCUAUAAGUUGACAAAACCAGCAACCUCAGUCAAAAUUAUGAUACCAAUGCACGCAGUUAGAGGUAUGAUCAUAGUUAUCAAAAAUAAAGAUAUGCUCUUCCGGCUACAUAGGGGAAAAGAAAAGCAUUAAGUGUAUUAUACUUCUUCCAGCCACUUAAACAUGAGGUUUGAUUUCUGAAGAUAAUCAAUGAUUAUUAUUAAACUAAUCGCAUAGUUAAUUAUUUCUUUGCUGCCCAAAAGGUUGUUUCCCUAAUACUCCUAGCAGUAUCCUGGCUGAAGAUUUCAUUUCUCAAAUAAUUUUAUAUGCAGUAGAGUUGGCUUAACCAACUUCUCAUCCAGUGAGGAGAAAAAAAGAAGAAAAAAGCAGUCUAAUUUUACUGCUAUCCAUAGCACUCCACUUAACUUUAUGAGAAUCUCAUUCUAGUUAAUUGAAUCAUGAAGAAGAGUAAUUAUAUUACAGCGAAUGGUAAGGGCACUGCCCUGCUUAGUUUCCAGUGUAAUGUACAGAUUCCAGAAACAUCUCUUUCUCUGAGCUAUUUUCUCAGCAACCAAACAACAUCUCUGUUUUCUUUCAUAUGCAAAGAGAUAAAAUGGAUCAAUUUAAAUGAAGAAAGAACAAAAAGUCUUAACAUACCACCCAGAUAAGCAAUUUAUUCGGGGCCAAAGGAUUCAAUGUAUGGUAUCUGACAAAGGUUGUUUGCCUUGUAUUGUCAACUCUCUUGCAAUUUCUAUUCCAGAAAAAAAAUCAGCUGCUCAUUUAUGAUAAAAACAAAAUUUAAAAUAAAAUCAAUAGAUCUAAAAUCAAUUGUGGCUUUAAGGAACCUAAAGCCACAAUGUUAAUUGAUCUUAAAAGUUUGUUAUAAAAUCAUAUGUAGAAGCAGUUAGUUUCAGUAAGAAGUACACGACAUUUAGUAGAGCAAUUUUAAAGAAUUCUCUAUACAAAACAAAAAAGGCAUGGAUACCCGUUGAUUUCUCUUACUGGUCACAGGACACUUAGGUCCAUUAUCUCUUUUCUUCAUGCUCUAUUUAUCCAUUUAAGGUUACCCUGAACAGAUAUUGUGGUGGUAUAGCAGCGACGACGGAGAUUGAGGCAGUGCGACAGUGACGGAGCGGCUGACAGAGGCUGAGAAGUUAUUACCGGUGACGAACGGCUGAGUAUUGAUGAUAACUGGAAGUAGUUACGGCCUAUUGGUGAUGAUCGCAGUGGAUUAGUUACUGGUGACGGUCAAAAAUCAUAAGUUACGACAGUGGGUUUCCAACUUUGGUGCACGAGAUAUGAUAGGAGAUGACGACAACAAAAGAGACAAAAAUAUAGAGAACAGACUUUGGUGCAUCGGAGAUGACGGCAGUGGCUAGUCGAAAGUAGUGACGGCAGUGGCUAGUCGAGAGUGGUGACGAAAGUGGCAAAAGAGAUUUUGGGUAUGUCGGCGGCGUGGUAGUGAUUUGUUUUGUUUUCGAUUGACAAUAUGAUGAAAUGAGGGAAAGAGAUUAGGGAUUUUACUUUUGCUAUUAUAUUUUUGUUUUUAAUUCUUUUAAAAAAUACUUGUAUCUUGAAUCUGUAGGUCAUGUGGUCUUUGGUUCAAAUGUAAAAACUUUAAAUUUUAAAAGUCUUUAGUUCGAGUCGGAAGAUUUACAAAUCAUAGUAAUUUUUUUUUUAACCUCUGAUACUUCAGUGCCAGUGGUUUUUGAUACUUAAUUUACUGAUACACUGAUAUCAGUAAUUUGUGAUACAUAUUUGUUAAAAGCAGAAAAUGGUGCAUAUGCAUACAAUUACUGAUACUUUUUACAAAAUGUCAGAAACUAAGUGUCAGUAAAGGUCAUUUUUGUAGUAGUGUGGGUUCUUGACUGUUCUUUUAUGUUGUUAUGGUAAUGCUGUAGCAUUAUACUCUAGUAGUUUUUAUGAAUACAACUGUUAUUUCGGUUGACCACCCAUUUAAUAAUUUCAGUUAAUAUAGAGCAGAAAAAGGGCAUGUCCUAGCGGACAUUAUUAGAGUAUUAUUUGUUCCUAAGUCGAGUUUCCUGGAUUAGGUUACCUUGAAUCCCAUAAGGGCAAUACUUGAAGUUAAGAUUUGUGACACUCUAGACAUAGGUGUUCACCUUGUAUGGUGGAGAGAUUAAAGGUUAUAAUGUCGUACUAUAAAUAUAUGAGCAACUGGUCAUUGUUAGUAGAUUUAAAGGUAAGAGAUUUCCAACAUGCGAUAGCUGCAGAUGCUGAUUUAUUCUACCCAUUGCUGCAGCACUUAUUGUAACAACUGGUGCUAAUUUAGUAAACAACAGUCACCCCAUUAAGAGAGUUUGAUCAUUCAACUACUAUAUUCUCAAUUGAAUCUUAGACACAUUUAACUUAGUUUAUUUCAUUACAGUAUUGUUUUAUUUCUAUCUCUCACAAUUAUUAGUUACGAUAGAAUUAUUUGACAAUUGUUUGUUUCGGUCUUUAGUUGAUUUGCACUAUUGUGAUUGCUUUAGUAUUUUGAGUAACAUCAAUCCGUGUGGAGACGAUCUUGAAUACUUAUCACUUUAUUACUUGUUGUGUAUACUUGCACAUUGGCAUUGAUAAUAAUUGAUUAUUGAAAUCAAUCAACAAGUUUUUGGCGCCGUUGCCGGGGAUUGAUUGUUUAUUUUUUAAGUGUGAAGUAAAUCUUGAUAGCGCCAAAUUUGAUUUGAUUUGAUUUAUUCUAUUUUUGAUGUAGACAAAACCAAGAUAGAGGUAAUAGAUAAACUGCCACCUCCAACUUCAGUAAAGGGUAUUAGGAGUUUUUUGGAUCAUGCUGGAUUCUACAAAAGAUUCAUUAAGGAUUUUUCCAAAGUAGCUAAGCCUAUGUGUUCAUUACUGGAGCAUGACAAACCAUUUCACUUUGACAAUGAGUGCCUUCAAGCAUUUGGAGAAUUAAAGAAAGCUCUGAUCACUACUCUAAUAGUUAUAUCUCUAGAUUGGACUUUACCAUUUGAAUUGAUGUGUGAUGUAGUGAUCAUUCUGUGGGAGCAGUAUUAGGGCAAAGAAAGGAUAAGGUUUUUCAUUUCAUAUACUAUGCAAGCAAAACGUUCACUCCAACUCAGAUCAAUUACACCACUGCAAAGAAAGAGUUGCUAGCAGUAGUUUUUGCUUUUGACAAAUUCAGAGCUUAUCUUGUGGGUACUAAAGUAACUGUUUACACAGACUAUGCAGCCAUCAAAUAUUUAAUUUCAAAGACGAAUGCCAAACCAAGAUUAAUCAGAUGGAUCUUAUUGCUUCAAGAAUUUGAUUUGGAAAUUAAAGAUAGAAAGGGGACUGAGAAUCAAGUGGCAAACCACUUGUCACGGCUGAAAGCAAACACUAGUACAUUGACAAGGAAGGGCAUCACCGAAACUUUUCCUAAUGAACAGCUGUUGGUAGUACAGUAAGCAUAAAUGCUGCAGCAGUCAGAAUCUCCAUGGUAUGCAAACUUUGCUAAUUACUUAAUGAGUGGGUUUCUACCAUCUGAGCUGAAGUUUCAAGAGAAAAAGAAAUUUUUUCAUGAUGUUAGAAGUUAUCAGUGGGAUAACCCACAUUUAUAUAAGCUAUGCUCAGAUCAAGUAAUAAGAAGAUGUGUUGCAGCAGAAGAAAUACCUCAUAUACUGGAGUCAUGUCAUACUGCAGCAUAUGGAGGACAUUUUGGUGGUCAUAGAACAGCUGCCAAAGUUAUGCAAUCAGGUUAUUAUUGGCCCAUUAUUUUUAAAUAUGCUUAUAAAUUUGUUAAAUGUUGUGACAUGUGUCAAAGGACAGGGAACAUAACUAGCAGACAUGAGAUGUCAUUGACUAACAUACUGGAAGUGAAAGUUUUUUAUGUUUGGGGAAUAGAUUUCAUGAGACAUUUUCCCCCAUCCUUUGGGAACUUAUAUAUCCUUGUUGCUGUGGAUUAUGUCUCCAAGUGGAUAGAAACUGCAGCAUUACCUACCAAUGAUGCUAAAACCGUGGUGACUUUUCUUCAGAAAAGUAUUUUUUUUAGGUUUGGCACUCCUAGAGCAAUUAUCAGUGAUGAAGGCACACAUUUUUGCAACAAAAUCUUUGCUGCAGCAAAGAUGAAAUAUGGAGUCAGACACAAGAUAACAACAACAUAUCACCCACAAUCCAAUGGUCAGGCUGAAGUGUCCAAUAGAGAAAUUAAAAAGAUCUUAGAAAAAGUGGUGAACCCAACAAGGAAGGAUUGGUCUUUGCAUUUGUAUGACUCUCUAUAGGCCUACAAAACAACAUACAAAACUCCACUCGGCAUGUCUCCUUACCGAAUUAUUUAUAGCAAAGCGUGUCAUUUGCCACUAGAGCUCGAGUAUAAAGAACAUUGGGUACUGAAGAAAUUAAAUUGGGAUAUGCAUGCUGCAGCAGAGCAAAGGAAACUUCAACUUUGUGAGCUUGAUGAAUUACAGCUAUUUUCAUAUGAAAAUGCGAGAAUCUAUAAAGAGAGAAUAAAACACUGGCACGACAAGCAUAUUCAACACAGAAAAUUCACCCCUGGUCAAUUAGUGUUGCUUCACAAUACAAGACUAAGAUUAUUUCUAGGAAAGCUCAAGUCAAGAUGGUCUGGCCCGUUUAAGCUGUUAAAAUCUUACCCUCAUGGAGCUAUUGAUCUUCCAAAUGAACAAACAGGCCACAAGUUCAAGGUUAAUGGACACAGGGUUAAGCAUUACAUACAUCCAGCAUCAGAAUGUUCAAAGAAGUGUUACUCCUUAAAGAAUCCAACUAUUGAACAAAGAAAGAAGGUCAGGCUGAAGGACCUUAAAUCAAGCGCUUCAUGGAAGGCAGCCCAUUAAAGAGAUAGCCACUUCAAACCAAUUUUGAUAUCCUUUGGUUUCGUAGACAGCUCUUCUUCUUUUACAUUUUAUUUAAUCCUGUUUUUCCAUAUUAACCAUUUAUUUUUAUCCUUUUCCAUUAUUGCAUACUUUAGUUUCACUUUAAUUUGAUAUAUCUAUCUCUUUUAAUAAUUUUAGACUUAAUUUUAGUAAGUGUGACAAUUGAAUUCCAUAUUGACACGUGAGAGUGUAUGGUGGCAGAAUGCAGAGGUGAACCACGCGUCAGAAGCUUUCGUGGGGAGUAUGUAUUCGUUGUUAGAAUAAGUGAAUGGAUACUGCAGCAGCUAAUUUUACCGUUAUAGUAAAUUAAAAGCUGGAGCCUUUCACUUACCGUUGGAGAUAAAAUCGUGACAGAUGGACGCAUGGAUAUGGAUAGAAAUUGCGGAAACAAAUCUCCGAAAUUAAAGCUUUAAAUUCACUGGCCGAUGAUUUUGGGAUAUGCACAUUUAAUUCAAAAUAUUUUAUUCCCUCAAUUAUUUCAAGUUACCGUAUUUAUCUCCAAUUACAAGUCCACUAUAAAAUGAGUCACUGUGUUUAGUACUCUACGCCACUAUUCCCCAUCUCUUUCACAAAUCCAACUCUCCUAAUUCUUCACCUCUUCUUCUCUUUUUUACUCUCAGGAACAGUAGCCGCAAUUUGUUACUGUUACAGCAAUGCCGAGAUACAAGAAAACAGCAAGCCGCCUCAAAGAUCCGUCACGAUUCCAGAGUUACCACGCUGAAGAAAAAUAUGAAGAAUUCAUAGAGCCGCAUCGGAUUCUAGAAGAAAAAGGAUUUCAAUUUCCAGACCAACUAACGGGAAUUGUGUAAACAAUUCAUAAUGCUGUAGCAAAAGAAGGAUGGCGAGAGUUUUGCAACCACCCUCGAGAUCUUGUGCUGCCUGUAGUCAAAGAAUUUUACGCCAAUUUAGGGCAUCAUGGGCUAACGAGGAAGGGCGUGUAGUUAAUAUGAUAGAUUUAAAACCUAUUGCUAAGGUGUGGGUGAAAUUUCUGAAAUCUAGGCUUAUGCCCACCACUCACACUACUAUAGUUUCGCAAGAACGGUUGGUCUUGUCAUAUGUCAUAGUUUGGGGGCUUCCUAUAGACGUAGGUAGCAUUAUUGCGAAAGAAAUCCGAGAUUGUGCAGUUAAAACUCACUGAACUGCUGCCUUAUUAUUUCCCUCACUCGUCACCAGCAUUUGUGUAGUUUCAGGUGUUUGUCUUGACGCCAGAGAUGAACAUGUAAAAAAUGAUGGUGCCUUUACGGCACAUACCAUUGAGCGAGUUGCUGGUGAGAGUGCUGGAACAACCACUGAACCAGCUAUUGUCACAAGAGCAAGACGAGCUAUUGGCUUAGAACAGACUAUCCAGACACUCAGCAACAGUAUAACUCAAUGUGUGGAAGCUCAGUAGAGGGAAAAUGGUCGGUUUUGGAGUUCUCUACAGCACUUGGACAACCAACUAUACCAAUUUUCUCUGUACAUGAAACGCACUCACCGGAACUUCCCUGAUGCACUGCUCCAGCAAUUUAAUUUUGACACCCACACCACAAAUGCUCCAGCGGAGGCUAGUGCAGAAGCCACUGCCACAGAGAAACCAGCAGAAGAUGUUGCAGCCGAACCACAAGCAGAUGAAGAAUCAGAAGACACUGAACUAUCUGACCAGCCUGAGGAAGAAGGUGACAAGUCCGAGACUGAUAACUCACCUACAGAGGAAGAAGACAACUCGGAGAAAGACCAUGAGGGACCAACCAUCCCAACCCAACUCAAAACCAGACAAAAGCACAUUAUUCAAGAAGAGAAUGAGGAUGACCUUGAAGAGGAGCCGUCUAUUCCAGUCUUUGAGAGCAAGAGAAAGGACAAGGGUAAAGCAAAAAUGGCAACACCAACAGCCUCUGAAGAUAAGAUGGAGCCAAUUGAUGCUGAGCUGGCUGCUGCAGCAGCCAGGGCUAUGCCUACACUUGAGCAAGCCAAGCAACUACUUGCGGUUAUUGCUGCCAUCACAGCUGAGGUCCAGGUAACCGAUGCAUUAACUCAAAAGCCUCUACAACACACUCUUAGUCAGUCUCUUCGCACCAAUCUAAGACGAUCCAGCAAACGAAAAGGCAGUACAUCUACAGGUACUGCUACAGCAACCCCAGCCACAACUCAUCUCACCAGCCCCGUAGCGAAAAAGACAAAGACAUUGCCAGCCACUUCCCCAAAAGCUUCACCAAAAGAUAAACUGCGCAGUGCAUCCAAGAAGUGCUGAUAACAUCCUGUCAUGUACUGUAGUCCCCACCACAGGGGAGUACUCUUUCCUUACUAGUUCAUUCAAUUUAUGUGCCUUUGCUAUAUUUGCUUGUGAGGACACAACAACUCUCAAGUUUGGGGGGGGGGGGGGUUGUGUUCCCGAAUGCAUAUGUUUAGGUUUGUAUGCAUGUGUUUAUGUUUGUGUGGUGUGGAGCUCUAUUAUCUAAUAUUUGUGUAUGGAUUUGAAAGCCUAAUGAAGAUAAAUUGAGUGUUAUUCAAUAUAUAUAUGCCAAGUAGAGAUAAUUAUAUAUGAAAGUGACAUUAUAUCCCUACACGUAGACUUUGGUUGAAUUAUAUGAGACUGUUAGAGCAAAGCCAAAAGAAGAGAAAAGAUCUCAAGUUUGGGGGGAAGAAGCAAGUUUGAAUAACUGUGAUAUCUAUGGAAUACAAUCUAUUCAAAUGGCUCAAGUUGCUGAGUAACCAGAUCUGAGUAUGCACCCUAUAUGCAGACUUGUGUUCAAAGGUAGCAAGAGUUAUGAGCAAUGCUGUAGCAUUAAAAAAUAAAAUAAAAUAAAAUAAAGAAAUCCUCUGUCUAAGGCAUUGAGUAGGCAGGUCUGUUCAUGAGCCACAUGUUCAGCCUUGAAUAAAAGAUACUUCUAGAUAAGAUUACAUUACAAUUACUGCUGCAGCAACUCUAAUCUGGGCAUGGUUUGAGUAGUUGGGUGUCAUCAUUACAAUUGAUUGACAUUCACAUGAAAGAUAAAUAUUAGAGUGAGGAGGUUAAAUAUUCCCUAGUUUGUCAUUCUUAAAAUAAUCAUAGUUGAGUAUGUGAAAGUUAUGAUUACCCCAUUUCUGAAUGAAGUAUUCUCAUUGCUGAAAUUCAUGCAAUCCCUUGGUGAUGCUAUAACAUAUCUAGAAUUCAACCGAAAGAGCACACACACACUAUGGAUAGAAAGAAGCUUAAGUCUAGGACUAAUUUACUAUGGUCAUCUUGCAUGAUUGAGAAUAUGAUCUGAAGGUGGAAGAAUCCUUGCAAAGUUGAUAAAAGAGCUAAAUUUGUGUGAAUGAUUUCUUUUGUGUGAAGUGUUAGUAUGUGUCAUUACUUGAGGACAAGUAAUAGUUUAAGUUUAGGAGUGUGAUAACUCUAGGAAAUGAGAGUUAUUACAUCAAUUCUAGACUUAAAUCAAGAUCAUUUAGAGAGCAAAUAAGGUGUUUUUACUACAUUUUGGUUACAUGUUGCAUAAACAUUCAUUUUAGUUGGGUUUUAAUAAGUUUUGUUUAAAUCAAGUAAUUUGUGCUAAAAAAAUGUGCAUAAUUGUAGGUUUUAAAUUCAUAAGGGAAUGCUGAGACAUUAGAUGAGCAAGAGGAGGAAAGAAGAUGGCCACAAAAGAAGACAAGCACAAUUGGGAAUAAUGCAGUGCUGUUGUGGAUGCUAGAGCAACCAGUCCUGCAGCAAUCAGAGAGCAAUGCGGGAGAAAACUUAAAGCGUAGGUCAGCCAUAAAAUCGCGAUAUGCAUGUUUCCUAAUUUAAACGCAUGCACACGCAUGGACUUUGGGUCUUUUACCCUAAUUUGCAAUAUAAAAGGAUACGUGCACCUAAUAGAAAGGCGGCAAGGAAUUAUUAUCAAACAUAAUUACAAAGGCAAGAAGAAGGAGAUCAAGAUUUAGGAGUGCUAUUCGGAAACAAAGAAAAGAACCGUGUAGACUUAUUUUGUCUUUCGUCGUGCUCAACUUAUAUUUUCUCUUCUUCCUUGAAUUGUUUGGAUGUAUUCCGAGAUCAAUAUAUUUGUAUUUAUUUUUCUCAUCCAGAUUAUGAACUAAAUUUACUUGUGGUUGAGUGACAAAUAAUCCAAUGGGUUCUUGACUAUUCUUUUAUGUUGUUAUGGUAAUGUUGUAGCAUUAUACUCUAGUAGUUUUUAUGAAUACAACUGUUAUUUCGGUUGACCAUUCAUUUAAUAGUUUCAGUUAAGAUAGAGCAGCAAAAUGGCAUGUCUUAGCGGUCAUUAUUAGAGUAUUACUUAUUCUUAAGUCGAGUUUCCUGGAUUAGGUUACCUUGAAUUCCAUAAGGGCAAUACUUGAAGUUAAGAUUUGCGACACUCUAGACAUAGGUGUUCACCUUGUAGGGUGGAGAGAUUAAAGGUUAUAAUGUCGUACUAUAAAUAUAUGAGCAACUGGUCAUUGUUAGUAGAUUUAAAGGUAAGAGAUUUCCAACAUGCGAUAGCUGCAGAUGCAAAUUUAUUCUACCCAUUGCUGCAGCACUUAUUGUAACAACUGGUGCUAAUUUGGUAAACAACAGUCACCCCAUUAGGAGAGUUUGAUCAUUCAACUACUAUAUUCUCAAUUGAAUUUUAGACACAUUUAACUUAGUUUAUUUCAUUACAGUAUUGUUUUAUUUCUAUCUCUCACAAUUAUUAGUUACGAUAGAAUUAUUUGACAAUUGUUUGUUUUGGUCUUUAGUUGAUUUGCACUAUUAUGAUUGCUUUAGCAUUUUGAGUAAUAUCAAUCCUUGUGGAGACGAUCUUGAAUACUCAUCACUUUAUUACUUAUUGUGUAUACUUGCACAUUGGUAUUGAUAAUAAUUGAUUAUAGAAAUCAAUCAACAGUAUGCAACGUUGAUCUCUGUGACAUACUCUGAGUGCCACGUUGGCGGUCGUCUCUCAUGAGUUGACCGACGAACUUCUGGAGCCUCGGACUCGACUGGUUCUUGUUCUUCGUGCUCUGGUGCUGGUUCAGAAGAAUCUAAAUCUUCUGGAUUAUUUUCCACAUAUACCGGUAUAGUCUCUAACUUUUCUUUUACCCCGCUAUCAUCCUCAUCUCUCCUUUGCAGUUGAUCUUCUAUAAAGAUAACAUAGCUGCUGAUGACGAUCUUGUGGGUAAUAGGGUCCUACAGACGAUACCCCUUUACUCCAUCAGCAUAUCCCAAGAAGAUACAUUUUUUAGAUUUUGGAUCUAGCUUUAUUCUUUCUUGGGCAUUGUACAUCACGUACACAGGACAUCCAAAUACAUAUAGGUAGGAAUAAUCGGCUGGCUUUCCAGUCCACAUCUUCAUCGUCGUCUUCAACCCAAUAGCUGUAGAUGGCGACCGAUUUACUAUAUAACAGGCAGUUUUGGCUGCUUCUGCCCAGAAUGAAUUGGGUAGACCAGCAGUUCUCAACAUAGCUCUUAUCCGUUCUGUAAGAGUUCUAUUCAUCUGCUCUGCCACUCGAUUUUGUUGAGAAGUGUAUGCCACCGUGAACUGCCUCUGAAUACCUUCUUGCUUACAGAAAGUAAGAAAAUCACCGUCUGUAUACUCUCCACCAUUAUUUAUCCUCAAGCACUUGAUCUUUUCACCAGAUUCAAGUUCCACCCGUGCUUUGUAUUCUUUAAACACUGGAAAUAUAUCUGACUUUUUCUUAAUUGGAUACACCCAAUAUCUUCUGGAAUAAUCAUCAAUGAAAGUCACCAUGUACUUUGCACCUCCCAUUGAUAUAUCCGGUAAUUCUUAAACAUCAGAAUGAAUCAAGUCUAGAAUGCAUUUACUUCUAGUAAUAGAUCUAUUGAAUUUUAAUUUGUACUGCUUACUUGUAAUACAAUGCUCGCAAAAUGGUAAACUUACCGAUUUGAGCCCUGAAAGUAAUUUUCGCUCAGAGAGAAUCUUCAAACCUUGUUCUGACAUGUGGCCAAGUUUGAGAUGCCACAUCAUCGUUGACUCGUCUCCAUUUGAUGCGACACACGCAUCAAUCUCUUGUAGUAUUUCUCCUUUAAGCAUGAAUAGAUUAGCACCGAUCUUUUCUGUCUUCAUCAAUACAAGCACUCCUUUAACAAUCUUCAUAAUUCCAUUUUUCACAUGAGUUUUGUACCCAUGACUAUCCAUUUGUCCCAAAGAUAAUAGAUUUUUCUUCAGGCCGUUGACUUGUCUUACCUCCCCAAUUGUGCGAAUUGUCCCAUCAAAUAUUUUUAUUUUGAUAGUACCAAUACCAGCGAUCCCCAAGGCAUGAUCAUUACCCAUAUAUAUAGAUCCUCCUGAGAUAGGUGCAUAUGUGUGGAACCAUUCUCUCCGAGAGGUCACAUGCCAGGUAGUUCCUGAGUCUAUAAGUCAGACAUCAGACAGUCGUUUUCUGUCUUCUGAAACAGUUGUUGCCUCGCUGUAAAGAAUUUCGCCAUCAUCCGAGGUACUUGCUACACAACCUUGAGCAUUUGAUGACUCAAGUUCUUUGCCCUCUCUUCUCUUCUGGUUACUCCAACACUUUUUCUUGACGUGCCCUUUCUUGCCACAGUUGUAGCAUUUAACAUUCUUCUUACUUCUGGAAUUUUGAUCUACCAUGAUUGUGACUCCCACUGGGGCCACGUUCUAUUGAUCUCCCUCUCGUCACCGAUAGCGCCUCCGCUUGCUGCGAACUUGCUUGUCUGUUUUCCUUAUUUUUCUGUCUGCUCUCCUCAUUUAAUAUGGAGGCUGCAACAUCAUCGAAAACUAGACUGUCCACUGGAUUGUUGUUCAUCAGGUUGAUGAUGAGUUGAUCAUAUGAAUCUGGUAGACUUUGAAGUAGAAGCUCGGCACGUUCAUUCUCCUCUAUAUUAUGACCCAACGUUGUGAGUUGUGAAAAUAGAGUCUUCAAGGUGUUGAUGUGAUCGGUCACUAUUGUAGAUUCCGCCAUUCGAAGAGUAUAGAGUUUCCUCUUCAAGAAGAUUUUGUUGUGUAGUGACUUGGCCUCGUACAAUUUUGAGAGAGUAUCCCCUAUUUCAUUCGUUGUAUUUUUCUCUGCCACACUGGAUAAUACUCCAUCAGCAAGUGCCAAGUGUAGAUCAAAAAUGGCGUUGCCAUCUAUCUCGUUCCACUUGUCAUCAGUUAUCUCCAUGGGCGUUUCUCCAAUUGCUGCUAAGCAAUUAUUUUUUCUCAAUACAGCUUUCAUCUUCAUUUUCCACAACAAAAAAUUGUUUCCGUUAAAUUUCUCAAUUUCAUACUUUGCCGCCAUUUUGUUAAUAAAUACCGCACACAAGCUAGUGCACCACCUUGAAUAAUUGUAAGUGUGUGUGAGAAUGCACACCGGGGAAGUUCCCAGGAAAGACUGAAGGGGUCACAAUGGUCCCACUUAAAACCCAGACUCCUUAAGCUCUUAUCACCUUUAUGAUAGAACUUUCCUAGACAUGUACAAAACCACAGUUGUUUUACUUACACCACUAUUCCCUGCUUUGGACCGUAAAAUUCUUGGAUCGCUCUCACCGUUUCACGUGAAUAAUACUGUAUACGUGAACAGUACCGUAUAUGUGAAUAGUACCCUUAUGUGAAUAGUAUCCGACUCCAAAAAUACAACCAAUAGCUCUAAUACCACUGUUAAGAAAUUGGUGGGUGAAGCAGACACGCAGCUAAAAUGAAAUUGGAAGAAAAAUAAAGAACAAGCACAAAAAAGGACACCAGAAAUUACGUGGUUCGGCUUUUAGCCUAUGUCCACGGGCGAAAACAAAAGAAAAAUAUUAUACUAGUGAAAAGGAGUUACAAGUAUUGUAGUAUUUUGGCUCACUACCCAAAACCUCAAUACACCUAAACUCUCAAAUCACUAAACACACAAAACUCUCUGCUCUGCAAGAAUUACUUCUCACAACUCUCGACUCUCUCUACAAAAUUGGAUGCAAGCUUUUAAAUUAAGAGCUUGUCUUUAUAGACAAACCUUUGCCAAGAAAGUAAAAAAGAUGGCUUUGAUUUUCAAGCAAUAUAGCUGCAAAUUUCAAGUUUUCAAACUUUGAAAUUUUGAGCUUUGAAUUUUUCUUUUUCUUUUUCAAACAUCUGAUGCCAACCAUUUUGCUUCUUCAAACCUUCUAGAUGCAGCUUCUAGAUGCUGCAGCCAAAUCUUUUGACAGAAAAGAUUAAGACAAGAUGUUCUUAUAAGAUGGAAUUCAACUUUUCUUAUAAUUGAUAGUGUUAUGUAUAACAAAAAUGCUUGCUGUCAUUGACAAUUGAGUGAUUCUAAUUAUAAGAGUUAUCUUCCGAAGAAGACUAGAGAAAAAUGAAAACUGGCAAAUUCUUGUCUAUGUUUUAUGAGAUCAUAUGCAUUUUUUCCAGGUCAAAAUACCCCAGUUCAAGUUUGUAUUUUCCUAAAGUGUUUGCAUGUAAUGUUGUUUUGGAUAAAUUAUUGCAUAGUUAAGAUGUAUAUAUGAAAAUUAUGGCAUACAAAAUUAUCGAAAAGUUUGAGAAGUAUUGGUUUGAUUUUUGUACCAUUUUGGCAAUUGUGGUCAUCUUGCAUCCUCGAUACAGGAUGGCAUUCAUUAAGUUUGCCUACGACAAUGCUUAUGAUCAAAAUUCAAAGCAGUUAGAACAUGUUCAUGAUAAGUUGUUUUCAUUUUUUAGUGAGUAAAAUUUUAUCACACUAUCUUUCUCCACCACAUUCAUACUCAUUCAAAUGAGUGAUAUUGGUUAAGUGUGGAACAUAAUGACAAUAGUCAGAAUACACUUAACCAAUGGACCAUGAAACUAUUCAAGGUACAUUUACAAUUUUCUUUUCUGUUUAUUGUAAAAAUUAUUAUUUCCUUAUUUGUACUUGUUUUGGAUUUUGACAAUUCUUAUCUCCUAAUUAUUUUGUAGGGGUUUGAUGAUCUUAAUAGCAUGGAUUGUUAUGCUUAUGUUAGAAAAUCUGAAUUAGAGUUUUAUUUGGAUGAACCAAGAAUAGAUAGAAAGAUUGAUUUAAACAUUCUAAAUUUUUUUAAAGGAAACAAAUUUUGUUAUCCUAACCUUUCUUCCAUGGCUCGUGAUAUCUUAAGCAUUCGUAUAUCCAUGUUGCAUCUUAAUCGGUUUUUAGUGCUGGCAGUCAAGUCCUUGAUCAAUUUUAAAGUUUAUUGAAAUCAAAUAUUGUCCAAGCAAUUAUUACUAUCAGAGAUUGAGAUGUUAGGAGAGAUUGGUAAGAGUUGCUAAUGAAAUUAAUUUAUUUUUCUUUUAUAAUAUUAUAUUCAAUUGUUUCUAAUUAAGAUUUAUUUUUAUAAAAUUCGGGCAUGUUUGGUACUCUUCAUUAUAUGGUAUUAAAACCCCUCAAAGUAUUAAAGGAUUAUUAUGCCAUGUUUUGUAAUUUUAGGGUGCGUUUGGCACACUGUAUUAUAUUAUGUUGUAUUGCAUUAUUUUAAUGUUGGUGUAUUAUAUUAUGUUGUAUUGCAUUAGUACUGUAUUACCAUAAUGUUGUACAAUGUUUGAUGCUACAUGUAUUGUAUUAAUUUUCAAUUAGACUAUAUUUUGUGUUAUAUUGUACUGUAAUAAUUUUUUGUAAGUAAUUUAAAUUAUAUAUUUAGAAAAUAAUAUUUAUUAGUAUUUGGAAAAAUACUAAAUACAGAAGUCUUAAAUUUUAUAAAUUUAACAAUUUUUUUAGUGUAAAUGUUAAAAAAUAUCAUAAUUUUUCAUAAAGAUCAAAGCUUAUAACCUUAAAUUUUCGGAAGUAUUACAUUUAUUUUUCAGUAUUUUCUAAAUAUAUGACUUGUGAGAUAAAGAUUGAAGCAAAUAAUUUAAUCAAAUAAUCUCUAGUAAUAUAACAACAUAAAUAAAUAGUUAAAACCUGGAAGAUUAGUUCAAAAGUCAUCUUAGGAUAAUGAAAUAAAAAUUUAUACACACCACAAGAUGAUAACAAAAUAAUAAAGUGAUAUAAUUGUUAUAACAUAUUCACUAACAAAAUGAAUUAUGCUAAAUAAUCCAAGUAAAAGUUCUAUCGUAUAAGCAAUAAUAUUUUAUAUUAUUAUUCAAAGUAAUAAUAAUAUUAAUUAUAUUAAAUUAUAAAUUUACUAAUAAAUUAAAAUGUAAAAAUAAAAAUAAAAAUAAAUAUUAUAUAAUAUAAUAUUAAAAUUCAAAUGUUAUAUUUAUUUAUUUAUUAUUUUUAUUUUUAUUAUUAUUAAGAAAAUUGAAAAAAAUAAUAAUAAGUGGCAAGCUAAUGCUACAACUGCUGCAUUAGCAUAGCCCAUUAAUACAGUGUAGCUGUAGCUGCUUUUAGCACCAAACGUGAGCUUGUUUAAAUUGAAUACAAAUAGUGUUUUUAUCCAAUAUAAUGCAGGCUACCAAACACACCCUUAAUGCAUAGUAUUGUAAUGUAGUCAAAUAUCUAAUUUUUGCGGUCAAACCCGCAUAGACUAAACCCACAGGGGAGUCGGGUUUAUGCGGAUUUGUAAAUUGUAAUUAUUUUGAGGCAAAGUUCUCCCUAUCAUUUGUGGCUCAGAUGAAACAAUCGCUAUUGCAGAGGCAUGGCAGGGCAAGAGGAAGAAGCUAAGACAGAGGCUCUCGAUGAACUUACUGAGCCACUCCUUUACCAAACCAACUCUUUCAAAUUCCUCAAAUCCUCCGCAGACAAAGCCUCCAAGAAACUCGAGAUCAUAAAAAUCGAAAUUUUUUAAAAUGUAAAAAUUCUAAAAUCUAAUUUUUUUAUAUUUAGUAUUUUCCUAAGUAUUGUACUAAUAAAUAUUAUUUUCUAAAUAUCUAAUUUAGAAUAAUCACCAAAAAAGAUUAAUACAAUACAGUGCAACACCAAACAUAAUAUAAUUAAAAAUUAAUAAGUACAAUGGAGUAUCAAACGAUGUACGAUAUUAUUAUAAUAUAAUUCUAAUGUAAUACAGUAUAAUAAAUAAUUAUGUAUUAAAAUAAUAUAAUAUAAUAUAAUACAAUACAAUACGCCAAAUGCACCCUUACUGUAGAAAAUUUUGAUGUCAUUUUGGCCCAACUUACUGAAAACAUUAUGAACAUGAGCACUAAUAGUGCUCGAUCUCAAGAGAGUGCCAAUGAUGCUCGUGACAAUGUGGGAGUGUGAAAGGAAAAGUUUUAUCUUGCUGAUUUUUCUUGCCUUUGUAGAUUUAAUUAUUAUUUCCUUAUCAAUACUACAAAAUUUGGUAUAUGAUUGAUAUUUUGAAAUUUUACAAUGACUCUUAUCAGUGUUGCAACAUGUUAAUAUCAUUCUAUUUAAUUUUUUCUUAUAGGACUCUUGUUUUCAGGUGACAAAGACAAAACAAAGAGAAUUAAAGAAAUCACCUAAGUUUAUAUUUUGAAUUUUAAUUAAUAUUAUUUGUAUUAUUAAGAAUUUGUAAUUUGGUGUUUGGAUGACUAUAUAUUUAAUCUUAGAAUAUGGUUUGGAUUAUUUAUAUUUUUGUCGAAUGUUAAAUUUGUGAUCUUUUUUAUUUUAUUUUACCUAAUUUUUAUUCAUUAAUUAUAUUUUUGUAAACAAUAGUAAACGGAUCCACAUUUGAUUCAAUUCAUUUAUUAAUUUUACUAAAUAAAUUAAACGAAUCAAACCAAAUAUUUGUUUAAUAAACAAAUCGAAUUUGAAUCCUAAAAUUUCAAUUCAUUUAAUAAGCAAAUCAAAUAUGAAUCAGUAGAAUGUUGAUCCAAUUCAUUUACAAUUUGAUUUGAAUUGGAUUCAUUUGUUCGUUUUGCCACCCCUGCACACCUAACCAAAUUAGCAUCUUCACAUAACUUUAUGUAACCUCUACUAACCUUAUGAGUUGCUGAAUUUCUAACUACAAUCUCACGUAAAGCUUUUUAACUCUUCGAGUGGGUAGUAAGUUCAAGUACAUAUUUUGUAGUAGAUUGUAUAUUUAAUUGGUUUGACAAUAAUUUAGUUUCUUCCUCACCUACAUGAAUAGAGUUUGAACUUUAGGCUUUUUAUGUCAUCCCAAAAGAUUAUACCGAUUAAGCUUAUUAGUAAUUUGGAUCCAAGUUUAUACCAUUCCGUGCGUAUUUAAAUAUUAUUUUUUUAUCUAAUAACCACCCAUCACAAUAAUACAUAUAAAAAGUCAUCACAAAUAUCAGAACUGAAUCCACUGUGCACCCGCUGCACAAAUUGAAUUAGAAUGUUGUGAUUUAUGUUUUCCUCACACUCGUCCUGAAUAUUUUGUUUCACACGUAAGAAAAAUCAUCUUCUUUAUUACAAAAUGGAGCCCUAAACAAUUCCUCAUUGCAUUGGCUUCAGGGCAAAAGAGCCGGCCUUGCCAUGCAGAGAUACUUCAGUUAAUGCAGUAGUGUAGAUACAAUUAUUUACAAUAGGGUUGUUUUCACUGAAAUUCUAGAUUAGUUUACAAGGAAGAAAAUAAAAGGAAAAGACAGAACAUGCGAACAAUUUAUCAACAUCAAGCUACUUACGUACUGAACUGCCCAAAUGAAAAAAAAAAUUUUUAAAAAUGUAGGAAAGAGAGAAUGUACAGACACAUAAAAAGAAUCUUGCACUUGAAGAAGCUGCCGCUUAUAGAUUCUAGAGAGAGAGAUUAAAACUAUUCUCUCCUUCUCUCUCUACAGACAAAGAAUUUUCUCAAAUUAAAAGGUGAAAAGCAAAACACAUUACUCUGUUUUUGAGUCUCUCUCUCUCUCUCUUUCCAUCGUUUUUUUUUCCUGUGAUUUUGUUUUAACAUGAUUUGUUUAAUUACUUGGUUUUUAAGGGGUUUGAAGGAAGGUAACGACAGUGAGUUCAUUGAGAAGAAAUGGAGAGCAUAAUGAAUGAAGCUGUGGAUUUGGUAUUGAAACAGAGUUUGUCAUCUCAGUUCUUGAUUGCUUUAUUACUGUUUUUUGCGUUUUGUUUUUAGUUUACCAUUAAGAAAAAGACACCGACGCUCCUGUGGCCUGGCAAUAGAUGGCCGCGGUGAUCUUUUUAUUUUGAAAAAUCGUCACACAGACUCAUGGAUCUCUUUUAUGACAAUUAUAUUUUUUUUAUUAUAAUAACCAGACUAAAUUUUAUCUGAAAAAAGUUGUCUAAAAAGUUAUCUAUGUGACAAUUUCCAAAAAUAAGAGUAUGUCUAUGACUAUUUCAUCAAAUCAUGAGGGUGUCGUCGUUUUCUUCAGUGUUAUAAAGUGUUUUUGUUUUGUGAGGAAGUUCAGGUUUUUGGUCUGCAGGAAAAGGUGCCGAUGGAAGAGGUUUUUGAGUCUUUGAAGUGCCGUCAAGGGGGCCUUUCGACGGAGGCUGCUGAGCAGAGACUUUCCAUAUUCGGCUACAACAAGCUUGAGGAGAAACGGGUAAUUUUUACUUUUAUCAUUCUUUUCCUUGUUAGCUUUCCUAUUGGAAAGUUCUAUUAAUGAAAAAAGAUACUUUUUUAAUCAUUGUAAGAUAUUAUUUUUUUGCAGAUUGUAAUUUUUUUUUUUUUUUUUUGGGUGGGUCUUCCAGGAAAGUAAAAUUUUGAAGUUUUUGGGAUUUAUGUGGAACCCUCUCUCAUGGGUCAUGGAAGCUGCAGCUGUCAUGGCAAUCGUACUGGCAAAUGGAGGAGUGAGUAUUGAGUACUGUUUUUCAAAUUACAUUUUUAUAAUUUGUUUUAGAAAAAAAAAAUGGUGUUUUCUACUUGAUGUUUUUGGAAAUGAAAAUAUGUUUAUUAACUCAUUUUGUAAGCAACAUCAAAAAUGAAAUUUUGACCAGAUAACACUGGGGUGAAGUGGGUCACGUGGCUCAAUUGGGUUUUUACGAAAUUUUUCAAUAUAAAUUUUUGAAACAGACUUGGGGGUCUUAAGAAUUUUCGAAAUUGCUUCGCAGAAUUUUUUUUUUCUUUUGAAAUUACCUCAUGUCAAAUUCACCUUCUUAUAGGAUAUAGGAUGUCCUUGCCUUGCCGUGCCGCGAUUAGGGGUGGUAAAAAUACCCGUUCGGUCUAAACACGAACUGCACUUAGGUGAUGUGGCUGGGUAUUCAUGAAGAUGAGCCGAUUUUGGGCAUCAUUUGAUAAAUCCAUGACUCGGGACAAAAUCUGAAUUUUAUUAAUAAAAUAUUAUAAAAUAUAUAAAUAUUUAUAUUUAUUUUACUCAUCUAUUACGCAUAUGUAAAGUUUUAAACACUUAAAGUUUAUAUUUUCAUGUCAAAUUUUAUUAAAAUAAAUUUAAACUUAUAAAAUUACAAAAAAAUAAAAAUAUAUAAUAUAUAAUAUUAAAAAAUAUAAAAUCCAUAUUAAAAACCUAGACUAGGUGGUCUGGAUGUCUAAAAAUUCAUCCAGGCCAGAUCUGGACAUUGCGAUACUCGGGCCCAAAACCAACCCUAGCGGCGACUAACAAUUUUCAACGCAUAUUCAUUUAGGGGUAUCAAAACGAAUUUUGCUCUAUUUCUAAGCAAAUUUUAUUAAAAUUUGAUGGAUUUAAAUUAGACCAUUUAUUAGAUUUGGAGUUAGAUUCAUUUAAUAAAUAAAUAUUGAUUUAAUAUAAUUAGCGGUCAAGUUGAACUCUUUUAAAUUUAUUUACCUACAAUUGAUCCUCAAAUAAAAAUUAAUAAACAAAAAAAUUAAGCGAAAAAAAUUAUCAAAAAUUUCAUUUGAUUCAUCUCAUACUUUUCUUUUUGUCUUAUUCCCAGUUCGUUACGAAACAAACCUUUCAACUUAAUAAUUUUAUUUUUAAAAAAUUUAAUAAAUGUAGCUAAGUAAUUUAAUUAAAUAAAUCUUAAAUGAAUAAAUGAGUUAGAGAUAUAAAAUUUAGAUUAGAUGGAAAUAGCUUAUUUACCAAAACAAAUCGAAUUCGACCGGUUAUGAAAUGAAUAAAUUUUUCCAAAUAUAAAUAAACGGAUCCCGACCCAUAUUCUAAAUAAGGAAUUUAAAGAAGCAUAAAUAGCAAAAUGGAAAUAUAUUUCAACAAGGAAUUUAGGCUUCAUUAAAUUUAAUCUUACUGUUGGGAAUUUCAUUGUUGCAGGGUAAACCUCCUGAAUGGCAAGAUUUUAUUGGGAUAACAACCCUGCUUCUUACCAAUUCAACAGUCUGUUACGUUUUAGAAAACAAUGCAGGUGCUGCCAGCGCAGCUCUCAUGGCUCAUCUUGCUCCCCAAGCUAAGGUACUGACUGCACUUGAAUAGUUGUCAGGUUAAGAUUAGUGCAUAUGCAUAUCUAAUAAGUUUAUUAUGAACUUCAUGUCAACUUAACUCAAUGAGAAUUGGAAUCAGAAACUGUUAUGUCAUAUUAAUUUGUAAAAUAAUACUUUGUAAGAAGAGUUUGUGGCUCUAGGCUCUAUUAUUUCUGUAAUUGGAGAUAUUAUUUCAGGUCCUUCGAGAUGGAAAGUGGAAGGAGGAAGAUGCAGCCAUUCUUGUUCCUGGUGAUGUCAUUAGUGUUAAGCUUGGUGACAUUGUUCCUGCUGAUGCUCGUCUCCUCGAAGGUGAUCCAUUGACAAUUGAUCAGGUGAGCUUUUGCAAUCUUUGUAUGCUUGAAUUGAUUUGGUAAAGUUGGUCUAUUUAAUUUAAAUUCUUUCAAUUUGUACGUUGCAGUCUGCUCUCACAGGCGAGUCUAUUCCUGUAAGUAAGGGCCCUGGUGACUGUGUACAUUCAGGCUCUACGUGCAAACAAGGGGAGAUUCAAGCUGUGGUCAUUGCCACUGGUGUUCAUACCUUCCUUGGCAGGGCUGUACACCUUGUGGAUACCACAAAUCAUGUGGGUCACUUUCAAAAGGCAAGAAAAUGUGAAUUCACAUUCCUUAAGACUUGUUUUUAUUUUCAAUCUCACAUUAUCAUUCACCGAAACUCUUGCUCUCGGGCUUGUUUACAGAUCUUGACUGCAGUUGGAAAAUACUGCAUAUGUUCAAUUGCACUGGGGUUAAUAUUAGAGAUCAUUGUCAUGUACGCGGUUCAACACAGGGAAUACCGCACAGGACUUGAUAAUUUACUUGUGCUUCUUAUUGGAGGAAUUCCUAUCGCCAUGCCUACUGUUUUAUCAGUGACAAUGGCAAUUGGUUCCAAACGAUUGUCUCGGCAGGUUGGUCUUAGUUGUUAUUUAUAAUGAUGUUACUUUUAGUGGUCAUUAGUUGAUAGUUGCAAGCAUAUAUGGUCUAAUUACUGCAGGGUGUUAUCACAAAGAGAAUCAGUGCGAUAGUCGAUAUGGCAGGCAUGGAUGUGCUUUGCUGUGACAAAACUGGAACUCUAACUUUGAACAAAUUAACAGUUGACAAGAAUCUAAUUGAGGUUGGUGUAAAUUUUGCUCACUUUUAGAAUUGCAAUUUGUAUUUCAACAUUUGGCCUGGAUCAUUGUUCAGAUCUUUGCUAAAGGAGUGGAUGCAGACACUGUUGUUCUGAUGGCAGCUCGAGCCUCCCAAGUGGAAAACCUAGAUGUAAUAGAUGCUGCUAUAGUAGGAAUGUUGGCUGAUCCAAAGAAGGUAUAUUUAUGAAUUCUAGAAUUUCAUGUAUGUAUUUUACUCUAGCUAAGCUUAACUGUUGUUGAAAUUUUGUAUUCUCAAAGGCAACUUGUAGAAGAUUUUCUUAUUUUUUCGUCUUAUCAUUUUGUUGACACUGAUUUCUUUGCUUUUGACCAUAAACAAGGCAAGGGCUGAUAUCCAAGAAGUUCACUUCCUUCCAUUUGACCCCACAGGUAAACGAACAGCUCUGACAUAUAUCGACAGUGAAGGUAAAAUGCAUAGGGUCACCAAAGGUGCUCCAGAGCAGGUAUGAUUGUCAACAACUAAUAGUAUGUUCUAGGAUUCUGAAAUGCCAUUUGAUAUAAUUUAUGCUUUUAUUUUGACUUUCAGAUUUUAAAUCUUGUACACAACAAAUCAGAGAUAGGACGCAGAAUCAAUGCUGUGAUUGAUAAGUUUGCAGAACGAGGAUUACGGUCUCUUGCAGUGGCAUAUCAGGUAUAUGAGUUACCUAAGUCAUUGUUCUAGGUCGUAUCUUCACAUCACUAUAGCGGUGCAUUACUUCAAUUGCAAUUUGUAUUAACAAAGUCUAUAUUUAUUAAUUUGGUUUCAGGAAGUUCCUGAUGGAUCAAAAGAGAGCUCAGGAAGCCCAUGGCAAUUUAUUGGACUCAUUCCUUUGUUUGAUCCUCCUAGGCAUGAUAGUGCAGAAACAAUAAGAAGGGCACUGAGUCUUGGGUUGAGCGUGAAAAUGAUCACAGGUGCUUCUCCCAUUUAUUGUAUUAUGUGUUCCUAGUUGAGCGUGAAAAUGACUACAGGUGCUUCUCCCAUUUACUGUAUUAUGUCUUCCUAAUUUGUAAUCUUAAUAUUUAGUCUUUGUUUAGGCACCAUUUAUAUCUAGAGAAAUUUUGUUGUUUCUGGUUUUGUUUAAUCGUUCUAUCUGCAAAAAUGCUUAUAUGUCAGUUUUCUUUUGCAUUCCUGGUGGAAUUUAAAUACUCUUAUGGUUUUACCUUUUCAGAAUGUUUUAAUUGGCGUUUUCAUGGAUAUUCAAUCUGUUUGACUUUUCCUCUUUCUCAGGUGAUCAACUUGCAAUAGCAAAAGAAACAGGACGUCGUCUUGGAAUGGGAACCAACAUGUAUCCUUCAUCAGCCUUAUUAGGGCAGGACAGGGAUGAGUCGAUAGUUGCUUUACCGGUGGACGAGUUGAUUGAGAAAGCUGAUGGGUUUGCUGGUGUUUUCCCUGGUACGAAGCUUGAUCUCCUAAUUUGCAUUAAGUAGUCGAUCACAUACUGAAGUUAGUGUUGUAUAGCUUUUAUUGAACUUGAUGUAUGGAUGACUACAUCCUACAACCUUUUCAUUAUAUUUUAAUCAUAGCAUAUUUCUAUUUUUUACCCUUGUUUACACGGCUGUCCUUAUUUUCUUUAUAGAGCACAAAUAUGAGAUUGUGAAGCAUUUGCAAACUAGGAACCAUAUCUGUGGAAUGAUUGGUAACGGUGUCAAUGAUGCUCCCGCUCUAAAGAAAGCAGACAUUGGCAUAGCUGUUGCUGAUGCAACUGAUGCAGCUCGUAGUGCUGCCGACAUUGUCCUGACAGAACCUGGCCUUAAUGUUAUCAUUACUGCCGUUCUAAAUAGUCGCGCAAUAUUCCAGAGGAUGAGAAAUUACACGGUGAGGAUUUGUUUCAAUUCUAAGGAAAAGGUGUUCUAUAGUCGAUAGUGUAGAGAUGGAUGGGAUUUGUGUGAGGGAAUUCACAACCCAUCUAAUUCUAUCUAUUCCACAUUCCUUAACCUACAAACAAACUAAUAAUUUAAAGCUUGCAUUUUACCCUGCUUGAGUGCCUGGUGGUCAAGAAAGCACUGAGACUGAAAUAACAUGUCACUGUUCUGUAAACUACUUUUAGAGCCUGAGGUAAAAUAAUAAUAAAUAAUAUAAUAAACCAAGACGUUGGCGGUGGUGCUGUUCAUGAAAACUUGAUUUUUGUGGGCACUGGUAACUUCUUUACACUGUCUCAGACUUUUGCAAAAUUGAAACAAGAACACGAGCAUUGUUUACUUGAAUUAGUUGAUUCCUUCUUGCUCUGUCCUCACUUUUUUGAUGCUUAAUUAAUUUCUUUCUUGUCGCAGAUAUAUGCAGUCUCCAUUACCAUCCAUAUUGGAGUAAGUUGUUUGCUGCUUGUUUCAAAUACUAUGUAGGAGAUUAUGGUGUAAUUUAUUUGGUAUUUGCAACUUUGAUCUUCUAUAGUAAUUAUUGCCCUACUGAUGAAUAUGAAAGAGUCUUCACAAAAGUAGCUUGAAUAUCUCAGCUUGACGUCUUACCUGUUUCUCUUGGUGACAGUUUGGUUUCAGGCUGCUAGCUCUUAUCUGGCAGUUUAACUUUCCACCCUUCAUGGUGCUGAUAAUUGCUAUUCUCAAUGAUGGUUUGUAUUUCCUUGACUCAGCAUGUAUAUCGUAACUGUUUGUAUUCUUUUUCAUCCAGGUGCAUCGAUUUCAAAUAAGAAAUAUACUUGUCUAUUGAUAUUUAUCCGGUACAUUGAUUGCCAGGUGCUAUUAUUAUUACAAUAUCAAAAGAUAGAGUCAGACCAUCUCCUCAUCCAGAAAGGUGGAAUUUGACCGAGGUCUUUGUAACUGGAAGCAUUCUUGGUGGUUACUUGGCAAUGAUGACUGUGAUUUUCUUUUGGACAGCAUACCGAACAGACUUCUUUCCAGUAAUGUGAUUUAUCUUUUGUGUUAUCAUGUCACCCAAUUUGGGUGUUAUGUAUGCCCGUUUUCCUUGAUUUAAUAAUAUAGAGAAUAAUAUUUGCCUUUACAUUGUCUUCAAUAAUUUGGACUGAAACUCAGUAUGCAACAUUCAGCGUACAUUUGGCAUUUCAAGUCUUAACAAAAAGGAUGUGGACGACUGGAGAAAACUUGCCUCGGCAGUAUACCUGCAAGUGAGUUCCAUUAGUCAGGCCCACCUAUUCGUGACACGUGCAAGGAGUUGGUCUUACGUCGAGUGUCCUGUCCUGUUUCUUGCUCUGGCUUUCUUUGUUGCUCAGCUGGUGAGUGAUAAAUGCUGUUUCCUUUUGGCCUUUCUUACAUAUAGUGGAUGAGUUGAUCCUUUUUAAUUCUUUGAGCAGACUGCUACACUGAUUGCCGUCUAUGCAACCUGGAGCUUUGCUACAAUUGAAGGAAUAGGAUGGGGUUGGGCUGGUGUGAUUUGGCUUUAUAAUAUCAUCUUCUACAUUCCGCUUGAUUUUAUAAAGUUCUUCAUCCGAUAUGUGCUUAGCAGGAAUUUUUGGGAUCUUGUCUUUGAACAAAGGGUAUUGAUGGCUUGAGUUCAACAUAUUUUAUUCAAGAACUGGAGCUUAAUUUCUUGCUCACUCUCCAUAGUGUAAUUGCUAUUUUGCAGAUUGCCUUCACAACUAAAAGAGAUUUCGGAAAAGAAGAACGUGAGCGUCUAUGGGCACAGGCACAGAGAACCCUCCAUGGGUUGCACCCACAUGACUCCAAUAUGUUCAGUGUACGAAGCAGUUACGGACAACUUAGCCGGAUGGCUGAAGAAGCAAGAAGAAGAGCUGAGAUUGCUAGGUAAAACAUAUAAAUAUAACGCUAACAAACUACAUUACUUACUUAAUUUCUACUCUUAAAAGCUGAAAUUUAAUGCUCGGAGUGUACACUCUUAUGCAUUCAAUAUUUUGAUUUUUUUCAGAUUGAGAGAACUGCAUACACUGAAAGGGCACGUCGAAUCACUGAUUAGGCUUAAAGGACUGGAUAUCGACCCAAUUCAGCAAUCCUACUCCGUCUGAUACAGAUCAUAUGCGACACAUUCGUGGACGUGGAACAUAUGCGGAGAUUGCAGAUAUAAGCACCUUAGUCCACAAGUAAUUAUGCAAUUCAUCCUGAAUGAGUUAUAGUUGCAUUUCUGAAGUAUAUAUUUGCCAAUCUGGGUUGUGUUUUUUCAGUUUUACAGUUUGUGUUUGAAGAAACAAUAUGAUGGGUUUAAGUACCAUACGGCCACUACUUGUGAUAUAAACCAUAGUAAGAGAUGGGUUUAAGUACUAUGCGGCCAAUACUCAUGAUACAAACCAUAACAAGAGUAAUAUAUUUCUCCACCUCUUUAUUUAAGUUUGUAAUUUUUUUUAUAUAUAUAUCUUCGAAUAACUAGGGAGGUGGUGGAUAAGGAUAAAAUUUAGAUUGAAUUUUUAACCUCAUACCUUCUCGGAAUUGAAAUUUGGAUGACCUUUAAAUAAAAUUACUUGAAAACAAUUUAUAAAAAACUUUUUAAUUUUUGAGUUUCAUUUCUUUUUAAUAAUUUGAAAAAUGUAACCUGUAAUUUCUGAAAGUAAUCAGAAAGCUACAAUAGAAUUUGCUUGCAUUUAUCUGAUUCCUUAAAAGAUUAAGUUCAAACUUCACACCUUAAAAGAUUUUCAAACUUCACACUUUUUGUACUACUCAUAAUAAAUUUGACCAAUUAAUUAACUAUCAUAUGCAGUUCCAAACAUCAAACAUAUAUUUUUUUAUCCCCUUGAUGGCCCAUUUCUCAAAAAUUGGUAUUCUAAUCAUAACCAUCCAAUAGAAAAGAAAUGAAGGUAAAAUUGAGAAGCAUCUGAAUAGCAAGGAAACAUCAUUAACGUAAUAUAAAUCUUUACUGUUUGGGUAAAUUACCAUUUAGUCUUUAGGGUUGGACAUCAAUUCUUAGAUCAGUACUUGCAUUUCUAAAUAUAGUUCGAAAUAUUUCUAUCGUUACUUUUGUUAGUGUUUAAAAAUUUAUUUUUUAGGUUAAAAAGUUAAUUUUUUUCAUUAAUCUAAAUUUUUUUUAUUAGUUUUAAAUAUACGAAACCAACUGAGAAUUAAUGCCUGACUUUGAAGAUCGAAAGCAAGUUUAGCUCAAAUAUAUGAUUUUAAAAGUUGUGCAUCUUGUGUUGAUUUUUUGAGAAAAUUAAAGAAGAGCAGCAUUGGCGGACACUGGAAGCUGGUAAUAUAAGAAAGCCAAUGAACUUUGCAAUUUAUUAGUCGUCAAAAUACAAAUUCUUAGAACAAAAUGGAAAUUUUGGUAGUGUGUGGUGCUGUGGCUUAAAAGUCAUAAUUAUUAUGAAAAGGAAGCAGUUAGGCACGAAAUAAGAGCUGGUGGUAUUUUGUAAAUGUAACUUUUAAGUAACAAUUUUGAUAAAAAUAAUAAAAAUAAUAUGAAUUUUGAAUUAAAACACCCGAUUGAGUAAAAUCAACUCAACUUCAAAAUUAUAAGGGAAAUUAUCAGCCAUAUACCCUUAAAUGGCACUCGUAUCAAACGUGUGUGAACACUUUUCAAGUGUAUCACUCGUAUACCUUAAGUUGACAAAACACCUCUGCCGUCCACCAAUCUGUUAACUUCCGUUAGAAAGUUAACAUAAUUGUGGCAAAUUGACUAUUUUGCCUUAAAACUCAAAAUGAAGUAAAAAGAUAAAUUUACCCCAAAAAUUAACGUAAAUUUUCAAUACACAAUUUUUUUUUAUUUUGUUAUUAACAAUGCAUUUUUUUAUUAAAAAAUAAAUUAUUAAUGGUACAUAUUAUUAACAAUUAUUCAUAAAAAAUCCAUAUUAUACCAUAAAAAUUAUUAACAACAUAUUAUUUACAAUUAUACAUAUUAUACCAUAAAAAUGUCCAAUUGGAGCUUGGAGGAGAAGAUCUCCAAAAAUUUAGGUUAAAUUUUGGAAGAGUAGAUUCGGUUGUAAAGUAGUUUUUUUAGCAAUUAUUAAAAAUUAUCCGAUAAAUGGGAUGACAUGUCAUUUUUAUCAAUAUAUAUCAUAUGACAUGUCAUUUGUUACUAGAUAAAUGGGAUGACAUGUUGUUUUUUUAAAUCAAAGUUUUGUCAAUCUUAAAAGACUAGAUUACCCUUAUGAUGUUAGAGCUUGCAAACGGAAGUUAACGGAUUGGUGGACGGCAAAUGUGUUUUAUCAACUUAGGAUAUACGAGUGAUACACUUGAAAAAUGUUCACACACGUUUGAUACGGGUGUCAUUUAAGGGUAUAUGACUGAUAAUUUCCCAAAUUAUAAUUACAAGUGUUUUCAAAGCUGCUGUGGCUAGUGAAAAAGCUAAACCAUACAUACUAGGUCUUGAUAUGAAUUACCACCCAACACACUCUUUUUGAACUAACACAUAAUGAAUUAUAAAAAUUUCAUGAUACAUGAAUAAUCACGAUUUAUUUUGAUUUAGAAAUAAACUUAAAAAGGCAUUACAUAUACUGUAUGACACAAUCAUUUUCCUAUAUUAAUUAAUAAAUAAAAAAGAACCAAAAUAAAUCAAAUACAGAUCCUUAAAUGGUUAUCAUUAAACAUCUAUUCACAUAUUAAUUGCUCAUUUUCUUGAGAUUAAUAUAUAUACAACCUGUGCCUUAAAUUACUUUCCAUUGUUUUAUGCUCGCACAAUGAAAUAUUUGAGAAAUAGAUAGGGACUAACCAGGGCGGCAGCUGUCCUAAUAAAUCUUAUUUUUCUAGAAUAUUAAUUUUAAAUUUCAAGCAAAUUUUUUAUUUGCCCCAUGAUGAGCUUUAAAUAAAAUACGAUAACUAUAUUUUCAUCACAUAAAUUACUUUAAAUAAGUAGAUUAUAUACAAGAUUAAAUGCAAUUAUAUGCCUAAUUAAAGAAAAAAUUCUUUUGAGUAAAUUAAUCUUCCCCAGCAAUUCACUAAGUAUGGCUUCCCAGAUUAAAAGGAACAACUCUAAGCACCAUCAUUUUUUAGUAAAAAUAAUAAAAUAAUAUAUAGGAAAAAGAAUAACAAUACUUUCUUACUCCUCAGUUUAAGGAAAUGGCGAGAGAGAUCUCUUUGUUUUAAUAAAUAGUCACACAAAUCCAUUUUCAAGAUACACAUACUCCUUUUUUUACACAAAUUUUUUUUUGUGUUAAAAGAUAAUCACAAACUUAAAUAAAUCCUUAAGAUUUAUUCAUAUAGUCUGUAUCUACUAAAUCACGGAAGUAUGAGUAACUUAUUCCCUAAUAUCAAUAGCCCUUGUCUCGAAUAAUAAACAGAGUAGGUCAAACUAACCUCAUCAUCUUGAUCUUUUUUUUUUUCACAAGCAUAAAUUUGCAUUUUCUUUUUAUUUUUCUUGAAGCACAUGCUUUCUUUUCUUUUCAUUUUUUUUUCAUAGUCAGGAGCUUUCACUCUACCCCUUAAGGUAGCCUUCUACCAUGGUAGAUUAUUAUCUACAUACUGGUGGUACAAAGGCCCAAAUUACUCAAGGAUAGCUUCACUCUUAAGGGUUGUAGGUAGCUAUUUCUGACUAUGGUGCCUGGGUAAACUUAAGUAAUGUAGAAUCAAGGCAAACAGUCAUUUACUCAAUCUAAAAUUCUUAACUUAGGUUGUAUCAAUCUCAAAUCUCAAGUCAAAAUUCUAAAAGAAUCGAUAUAAGUGCACAAGAUAUUUAAAGAAUCACAAUCAAGACGAAACUAACAUAAGAAUCAAGUAUAAAUUAAGACAAUAUUCAUCUCUUUCUCAGAACCAUAUUCAUUUUCAACCAUAAACUCAUCAUAGGCAUUAAAAUCUUUUUUUUUAAUUUUCUUUUUUUCUUUUUAAAAUUUUUUUUUGAAAAAAAAUGAAAGCAAAUAUUCCUACCCCCAAACUUAAAAUAAACAUUGUCCUCAAUGUAAAAAAAAAAAAAGAAAAGGAAAAGAAAAACUCCCCCAGUUUUGCACUUGAAGAUGUGACCUUGCAGUUGAGUCAUUGAAAGGCAUGUGAAAAGUCAAUGUUCAUCAACUCCCAAACUUGUGCAAAAACCUAGAUAAAACAAAACAAAAUAAGUAAAAGAAAAGAUAAAAGAAAUAAGAAAAGAUAAAAAUGACAAUAAUAAAGUUUAGAAAGCUUGGGUUGCCUCCCAAGAAGUGCUUAAUUUAUAGUCAUUAGCUUGACUGUCUUUGAAGAGAUCAUUCAAGGAGGCUCGUGGAUGCAAGGAGAUGAUAUGGAUGGACCUUGCACAAGUUUCUUGCAAUUAUGCCUCUUCCCACAAAAAUGAGGAGAUGGAUCUUCAUUAAUAAACUGCUUAUGUAUUGUAUAAAUGUCAGGAGGGUCAGAUAGAUCUUUAUCCUUCAAUGAUUUGGCCAUUUUUUUAUCCAUGGUGUCUUCUUGAAAACAAUCUUUAAGUUCAGUUGGAUACUUGAUAGGUGCUUACACAUUGAAAAUGACUUGCUCAUUUUGAACUCUUAAAAUCAAUUUCCUUUCCUGAACAUCAAUCAAAGCUCUUCCUAUAGCUAAGAAUGGUCGGCCUGGAAUGAGAGGUAACUCUAUAUUUUCGGCCAUAUCUAAGAUAAUGAAAUCUGUAGGGAAUAUAAACUUGUCAACUUUCACAAGCACAUCCUUAACUAUGCCUCUUGGGUACUUUAUAGAUCUAUCUGCCAAUUAUAGGGUAACAGUUGUUGCCUUAUGUUCACCCAAACCUAAUUUCUUGAAAACAGAAAAAGGCAUCAAAUUAAUGCUUGCACCUAAAUCACACAAAGCUUUAUCAAAAUAAGAUUUUCCAAUAGUGCAUGGAAUAUUAAAACUCCAUGGAUCUUUCAGCUUUGGUGGCAAUUUAUUUUGUAAGAUAGCGGUGCAGUCCUCAGUCAGCAUUACAGUUUCAUGCUCCUCAAGUUUCCUCUUGUUGGACAACAUUUCUUUCAUAAAUUUGGCAUAAAGCGACAUUUGUUCCAAAGCAUAUGCAAAAGGAAUGUUAAUAUGCAAUUUCUUAAACACAUCAAGAAAUUUUAAAAAUUGCUUAUCUAUGUUAUUUUUCCGGAGACGCUGAGGAAAACGGAUUGGAGGAACAUAGGCCUUGACUGGUGUUGCUAGUUUAGGUUGUGGUAUUUCUGAACUUGCUGCCUUUGAAACCUUAGUGGUGUCUUCAGUUUGUUCUUCAUCAACUUUCUUCGAUUUUUUUCGCGGUUCAUCAAGUUGUUUACCACUCCGAAGUAUAAUUGCAUUAACUUGCUCCUUUAGAUUUGUCUCGGUGUUGCUUGGCAGAGAGCCAUGUUGUCUACUGGAUAACAAGUUUGCAAUCUGACCCACUUGUACCUCAAGGUUCCAAAUUGAUGCAGCUUGAUUUUGAAAAGUUGUCUCUGUUUUUGUCAUGAAUUGAGACAUGUUUGUUGUAAGCUGGGUAAGAGCAUCUUCUAGGUUUGACUUCUUUUCUUGUGGUUGGAACCCUGGAGGUGGUGCCAAUGUAUUCUGAGUGUUGUUUCAUGACAAAUUCGGGUGGUUUCUCCAGUCAAGAUUGUAGGUAUUAGAAUAUGGGUUAUGUUGUUGUCUUUGGAAAUUUGACACAUAAUGAGCUUAUUCAGCAGAUAACGACGCAAAAGGACUUUCAACUUGGCAGUUGACACUAGUAUGGUUCCCUCCGCACAAUUCACACACUUGAGUUUGAAUAGCAUUGACAUUCAGGUGCUCUAACUUAUUAGAUAAAGCAGUCAUCUGUGCAGAUAAAGCAGUGACAACAUCAAUAUUAUGGGCUCCUACAAUUUUUCUUGGCAUUGAUCGCUCUGAAGUCCACUGGUAAUUGUUGGAUGCCAUCUCCUCCAAUAAUUCAUAAGCUGCUUCUGGUGUUUUUCCCAUUAACGUUCCUCCUGCUGCAGCAUCAAUCAUUGUUCUGGUAUUGGAUCCCAAACCAUUAUAAAAUGUUGGUACCUGAAGCCAAACUGGUAGACCAUGAUGUGGGCAUUUUCUUAGUAGGUCUUUGUAUCUUUCCCACACUUCAUAUAAUGAUUCCAUCUCGAACUGAGCAAAGGCUGUGAUGUCAUUUCUCAACUUGGCUGUUUUUGCUAGAGGAAAGUAUUUUGCUAAAAACUUCUGUGCUAAGCCAUCCCAUGUAGUGAUUGUUCCAGCAAAGAGUGAGUUCAACCACUCUUUUGCUUUAUCCCUCAGUGAGAACGGAAAAAGCCUUAACCUGAUAGUAUUGUCUGAAACACCAUUUUGCUUAAAUAUGUCACAAAUUUCCAAGAAAUUUACAAUAUGAGCAUUUGGAUCAUCAUUUGGCAUCUUAGCAAACUGUACUGACGCCUGAAUCAUCUGGAUUAUGGCUGGCUUAAUUUCAAAAUUAUUGGCUUGAACGGUAGGGCGUGCAAUGCUUGAACGAGCUCCAUUAACUGUAGGCACAACAUAAUCUCUUAAAGAUCUCGCAUCCUCAUUUCCGUGUAAUGGUUCGUCAGCCAUGAUUAGUUGUUACUCCUGUAAAGCUUCUCUCCUUUCUCUAUUGAGCCUUCUACAAGUGCGUUCAAUCUCUGGAUCAAAAGACAAUAAAUCAAAACUUCUUGAACGUCUCAUAAAAUUCGACAAGAAAAUGAAAAUUAAAAUAAAAACAAUAAAAAUAAAAUUCAAAUUAAACUAAGGUUAGUUGGUAUCGAUACUAAUCCAAACAAUCCUCGGCAACGACGCCAAAAACUUGAUGCGUAAAUUAGCAAGUGUACUAGUCGACACAAGUAAUAUAAUGAAGAGUAGAGUAUCGUCCCACAAAGAUUGUAUAUCCUAUUAGUUACCGAAAUUAUUCUAACCCUAAUUUAUUUGAACAAUCGAAUAAGCGAAUUUAGAUUAAAAUAAAAUAAAAUAAAAUAAUUAAAAAUUAAAUAAAGACACAGGUAGUAAUAGAAAUCACCAAGAGAUUAAGAUAUUAGGACAUCCGAUUUCACCAUAACCAAUGCAAUUUAAUCCUCCAUUUAUGCUAUUAAAAUUUACUACCCAUAUUGACAGUGAAUUUCCCUAAUCCAUUCAAUAUCCUCUCUCGAGUAAUAUUAAAAAUACCUUCACACAUUAACCCACUAUAUCUCUAAGUGAAUUUAAAUAUGCAAAGAUUCAUUAAGCUCCAUGGAAAUUCUUAGAAAAACUGCACGAAUCACGUUGGCACAUCUCUGUCUUUCGUUCAAUUCAUGGCAUCCAUUACACAGAACUAAAAUACAUAAAUCUCCUCUCCGUCUCAUUAUAUAUUCUCAAAUCAUUCAAAUAUUGGCCAGAUAUUUAAAAGCAUUAAGCACAAUAAUGAACACUCAACCAUGGAAUAAUAAAUUAAAAAUAACAUAAAUUUAUGGAAUUAAAUCUUCAUAGUUAGGCUACAUCGUAGCCCUAGUAAAUAAAUUAGUUCAUGAGAAUAUAAAGAGAAUCUAUUAAUUUAAUUGGAAACAUUCAAGCAAGAUAAUAGAGAAGAGGGAAAGAAAAACUCAAGAAGUUAUCUCUCUUUAAUUUCUGCAAUUGACUCCUCCAAAUUGUUGCUCCCGGAUUUACAGCGGCUUCUCUUGUUCUUUUCUUGCUCCCAGUUUUUCUAUAUUUUUGCCAAUUGUGCAGCUGCCCCCUUCACUUUUCUUUUUAUAUUGUUGCGCCACUUCCAAAUCCUUAAAUGAAAAGGAUUUCAAAACAAAACAAAUCCAGCCCACUUUUAAGCCCAUGCACGUUUUACUUGCCAUUUGAAUUGCCAAUUAGUUCUAUAAUGCUCCCCACGUGCAUGCAUGCUUAAAAUUGGUUAAUUAAAUCUUCAUUGAUUUAUAAUUUUUAUUUCUUUCCCUUUUUUCUUCCACAAUCCGCAAUUAUUUCCAUUAAGCUCCAAUUUGUUUCCCCUUUUUGCUUUCUUUCACUUAAAUAUUCCCAAUAUUCCUACAAUGACAAAAUAUAAAAUUAAGAUAAAAAUUAAGAUAAUAAAAUAUAAUUUAACAUAAAAUUAAGUUAUGAAAGCAUUAAAAAUAAUAGAUAAAUUAUGAGCACAUCACAUGCUAUCCAUGAAUCAUGAUAGAUUAGUGCAUGGAUAAAUAUAGGUCAUCUAAAGUGAUUUGGUAAUUUUUUGGUUAAUUUUGUUAAACUAGUGGUCAAGAAGUGUAGAAUAUGACAACUAUUCAAAAUUAUUAAAAAAAGAAAGAAAGAAAGAAUUUUCAGCCAAUUUCAUACACUUCUCAAUCACAUUGGGUCUAGAAUUCGAGCAAAGCGAGAGUGGUAAUAUCCUAUAUGAAUUUGUCAAGUUCGGAUUGACAAAAAUUGACUGAAUUAAUAACACUUUCGUUGAUAAAUGAUAGAAUUUAUAAAAAAGAAUGUUUAAUUUUUGUGAAAUGCUAACUCCACACACACUAUGGUUGCCUUGGCUGAGAAAAUAUUAUCAUUAUUGUGUGAAUGGGAUAUUGAGAAAAAAAGAUUUUUUUUUCAAUAACUCUAAACAAGUAAUGAUAUUUGUGUUGCAAUGUUAAAAAGUCAACUGCAAUUAAAAAAUGCUUUGAUGUGUGAUGGAGAUUUACUUUUAUAUUUGAAGUUGUGCUCAUAUUAUUAUAUUGAUUGUUCAAAAAGGAUUAAAAUAAGUUGAGUAAGAAAUAGAAAAAGCCCAUGAGAGUAUAAAAUAUGUCAAGGGGUCAAAAAUGAGAGAAAAAAAAAUUCUUCAAGUGUGUUAAGUAUCUCUAGGUGACAAGAAAAAAUUAUGACAACUUUUCUUAUGCUUGAUAGUUUUAUGUAUAACAAAAAUGCUCGUUGUCAUUUACAAUUGAGUGAUUCUAAUUACAAGAGUUGUCUUCUGAAGAAAGACUAGAGGAAAAUAGAGAAAACUGGCAAAUUCUUGUCUAUGUUUCAUGAGAUCAUAUGCAUUUAUUUUAGGUCAAAAUUGUUGGUUUGAAAAAUAUUUUUCAACAGAAAUAUUUGGAUCACAAUUCUCAUACAAUAUAUAAAAUUACCAUAAUCUAAAAAUCGUACCUUUGCUUUUUUUGCUGAAGUAACCUAGGCUUUCAGAUCACGAUUUGUCACCACUAAUCUUGUUAGAUUACGAUUCGCCACCAUUGAUCUUCUAGGUUAUGACUUAAGUUUGAUAUGCACUUGACGUGCGGACGCCUUUAUCACUACUAAAAACAACUCGAAAGAAAAAAAUUUUUUCUCUCAAAGAUAGAGAGAAAAAAUAUUUUUUUCUCUAAGUUGUAUAUUGUGGCUACUGUCUCUUUUUAGAGAAAACAAGUCUUUUUAUAUCUCUAUUUGGUGGAAACCAUAGGCUCCAUAUAUAUAUAUAUAUAUAUAUAUAUAUAUAUAUAUAUAUAUAUUAAAUUCUAUUAAAUCAAAUUUGAUUUAAAUUAAAAAAAUAAUAAAACCAAAAGUCGCGUUACUUGUUCUUGUUAUAAGAGCCCACCUUAUAAAAUAACACAAUACCUUUUACACACAAGCAUAUUAAAUGGAGCCUCCCACUAAAUAAUAUAUUUAGGCUUUUAACCCAAAUAGUUAGUUAUCUUGUUUAUUAAUUCAAUAGUUGUGCAGUCAAUUAAAUGAGCUAACUUGGGAAUCAUAUGGGAACAUACAAUAGUGGCUACAAUAAUUAAGCAUGUAAUUAAACUAACCCAAUUAUUUAAUUCCAAAUCUACUCCACUAAAAAUUUGGAAUUGACUUCCAUAAUUGUAUGCUAUCAAGGAUAGUGUUCUCAAAUAAUAAUUCGACUCAUGCCACAUUGAUUUCCUUACUAAACAAUCUUUUGUACCACAUCGCUAAUUAAAUUGAUAUCUCAACUGUUCAAUCAAUUUAAUUACAUCUUGUUCCUUGACACUUAUUGGUUUUAUCUACUGAACAUUUUCAACAUAUUAAUUAUGUUGACACACUCUGACCAGAGAAUUCUAUGAUUAAGUACUGAAAACCCGUCAAGAGAUGUGUUGUAUAAAUUUUAUAUUGUUAAUCUAUAAUCUCACUACUCAUAAUUGCUUCCACCAAGAUAUUGGGUAAUCUUGACCACAAAUGUAUGUCCCACCCAUUAGUAACUCAAAUGAAAUGAAAAUAAAAAAAUAUGAAACUAUAAUUAACUCAAGGUUCAUAUUGCAAUAAAAUCAAUACCUAUGUGAUCCAUUAAUAAGAAGAAUAUUAGUAUAAUAAACGUCUCAAGAAUGGACUCUAGUAUGAAGAAAAGUUCUUCACCACCGCUUGAAGCCAACCGAUCUAUGAAAAGGGCCAAGUUUAAGGAGAAUGGUGUAGAUGGGGAUAACCUACCUCCCGUUUCGUUCAAAGACAAAUUAAUGGAGCAGCGGGCUAUGAAGGAGGAACUAAUGGGCAAGGACGAGGAUAUGGAAUUUGACAUAGGAGACGUCAUUGUCGUCGAAAAGGAAGGGGUUCUGCCAUCCAUAUCUUUUUCUUGGAAGAUCCUCUCACAAUUAGUGAAACCCUGGCAAUCAACGGUGGUUGUGAAAUUACUGGGAAGGAAUAUUGUUUAUAAAGUUAUGUGUAGCCGCCUGGAGGCCUUAUGGGGUAUGUCUAAUGGUUUUUCUGUGAUAGACCUGGAGAAUAACUAUUUCCUAGUCCGGUUUAAAACAGUUUUAAAUGCUCAGCAUGUGUUAACGUAAGGACCAUGUAUUGUGCUUGGCCACUAUUUAACGAUUCAAGCAUGGUCACCUCAUUUUGAUAGCGCAAAUGAGAAGAUUUCUUCCAUCGUAGCCUGGAUUCGUCUCCCUAGAAUGCCACUACAUUAUUACCAUAAGAAGGUGCUACGCUUGCUGGGACAGAUAAUCAGAAACGUUGUCCGCAUUGACUACAACACUGAGUCAACUACUCGGAGUAAGCUUGCUCGAAUUGCUGUUGAAGUUUGCAUUGGAUAAACCAUUGUGCUCCUAGUUCCUUCUUGACGGCAAGAUCCAAAAAGUCGAGUAUGAAAGGUUACCCACUAUAUGCUUUGUAUGUGGAAAAUAUGGUCAUCUUAGUGCUUCCUGCUUUGAUGAAAGAGGAAAUGAAGCAACGGAGAGGGGCAUAAAUGUGCCUACUGAUCAAUCUGUAGAGGUGGAACCUCCACUGCAACCAGCAAACCCUAGGUUUGGCCCUUGGAUGGCGGUGACCAAAAAAGGCAACAAUCGUUUUCGAAAGGAAAAUGCCAAGGUUUCUAGACAGAAUCUCACUGAAAAUGGAAUGAUUGAUAACGGUUCAAGAUUUGGUCCCCUUAUGAAUGCUGAUAACCUUGAAGAUAACUUUACUUCCAAUAAUACCAUGCCCAUGCCUGAAAGUCAACCUGCCCGUUUUCCCGAUACACAAGCACCAAUUCCUAAAAAUAACAUUUUUCAAACCCAAAAGGCCAAGUCCCUUACGAUUUUACCCUCUGGGAAUAAGAAACAUACACUGUCAUUAAAAAGCCCCACCACCAGAACAAAAAAUGCGCUUUUGCAUGCCUAUACACACGUAACCNNNNNNNNNNNNNNNNNNNNNNNNNNNNNNNNNNNNNNNNNNNNNNNNNNNNNNNNNNNNNNNNNNNNNNNNNNNNNNNNNNNNNNNNNNNNNNNNNNNNAUGCAUAAGUUGCAUUUCUAUUCCAAAGCUACUGGAAUUGAGGACAAGUUAGAAAAAGUAGUAGUUCACUCUAGUGACCCAACUAGUGGGAGAGAACUAAAUAUGAGAGUUUCGGAUGAUGAUUCUAAUGAUAGUGACUAUACAGGAAAUAGUCAGGAAAAUGAAGAAGAGUUGGAAUCAGCUGGCUCUCUUGAAUUUUAGGAUAGCCUAGAUUUUAUGCUGAUGAUUGAUACCCCUGAUGGGUAAGGUUUAUACCUUUCUACUCCUUUUUUAUUUCCUGAUGUGUACUUAUAUGUUCUGGAGCUGUCAAGGGACAGCAUCAAAAGGCUUCCUUCAGUAUUUCAAAAUGCUUGUAAUGUGUUAUAAGCCAGACCUGGUGGCUCUUUUUUAGCCUCACAUCAGUGGCAAUAGGGCUGAUGUCUUCAUUAAGGAAUGUGGCUUUUCUAAUUCGCACAGGGUUGAGGCAACUGGCUUUGCUGAUGGUAUUUGGCUUCUAUGGAAUGAUGGUAUCCAAGUGGACGUGGUUGUGAAUAAUAGACAAUUUAUUCAUUGCCGGGUUUCCAGACUCGGGUUGUUUUCUUGUUGGGUAACGAUGGUAUAUGCAAGUCCAGUGCGUAUAGUGAGACAACACCUUUGGCCAUUAUUAGACAAUAUUGCAAUAAAUACUCACGGCCCCUGGAUUAUUAGGGGAGAUUUUAAUACAAUUAUGAAUUCUACGGAAAGAAGAGGAGGAUGUGGGAAUACGAUUGAUGUUCAAUUUGUUCAGAGAUUGGUUUCACAGGAAUCAGUUAUGUGAUCUUGGUUUUACCGGUCCUUCUUUUACUUGGUCUAGAGGAUCCCUUUAUAAACAGCUAGACAAAUGCUUGUGUAAUGAGGAUUGGCUACGUUUAGCCCCUGAAACUGUUGUUUACCAUUUUCCUAGAAUCCAUUCAAAUCAUCGCCCUCUUUUAGCCCUUCAUUAUCGUAUUGGUGCUCAUCAGCUAGGGCAUAGACCUUUUCGUUUCCUUGUUUCUUGGCUUAGAGACCAUAGAUUUGCUAAUUUUGUAAAAAGUGCUUCGGAUGGCUCUAAAAACUAUAUGCAGAUGAUUGAAGAGUUUAAGACCAAUCUCUGGACUUGGAACAGAGAAGUGUUUGGGAAUAUUUUUAAACGGAAAAGAAGAAUCUUGGCGAGAAUCGGUGGUAUUCAAAAAGCUUUAGAAGUUCGUCAAUCUAACCAUCUUACUUGGUUGAAAGCAGAUUUAAGGCAGGAAUUAGAAGAGGUUCUGACCCAAGAAGAGAUUAUUUGGUACUAAAAAUCUAGAAGAGAAUGGAUUAAAAGUGGAGAUCGGAAUACAAGAUUUUUCCACCAAAAAACCAUCCAACAACGAAGAGCGAAUAAAGUGGUGGCUGUACAGGAUGAUUCCGGUGUCUGGCUAUACGAUAGUGAAGAGAUUAAGGCACAUGCUAUUUCUUUUUUUGUCAAACUUUACUUCAACGAGGACAGAAAAUAUCAUAUGUACCCGGUUCUAAAUCACUUUCUAAGGAUGGAUAGCAAUACCAUGGGCAACUUGUUUAAACCAGUGCAUGAUGAGGAAAUUCAGUAGACGAUUUUUGGUAUGCCCCCCUUGAAGGCCCCUGGUGUGGAUGGCUUUCAUGUUAUCUUCUAUCAAUCUCAAUGGCAGGUUGUGGGGCCCUCGGUUUGUAAAGUGGUAAAAGAGGUCUUUGGUGGCACGCCAAUUCCUAAAGAGCUCAACGGGACUUUGCUUGUGCUCAUACCUAAAACCAACAAUCCUACUAGCUUGAAAAUGUUUCGGCCUAUUAGUCUGUCCUCCAUGGUGUAUAAAACAAUCACCAAAAUAGUGACUAAUAGACUCAAGGAGGUGUUGCCGAGGUUUAUUGGCCCCAACCAGACAAGCUUUAUUCCAGGGAGACAUAUUACAGAAAAUAUCGUUAUUGCACAAGAAGUAAUUCAUUUUAUGCGAAAGAAGAAGGGGAAAUCUGGUUAAAUAGUUAUCAAGGUUGAUCUUGAAAAAGCCUAUGAUAGAUUAAACUGGGAUUUCAUCUUUGAAACUUUGUGCAUAGUUGGGUUACCCUAGGGCUUCAUUCGAGUUAUUAGGGAAUGCAUUUCGUUUGCCACCAUGCAACUACUUUCAAGACAAGGUAUUCCCAUUUCUCAUAUCUUUUUUGUUGAUGAUCUUUUACUUUUGGCAGAAGCUUCACUAGACCAAGCAGAAGUUAUCAUGGAGGUGCUCGAUACGUUUUGUUGGAGUUCAGGAGAAAAAGUGAGCAAAAAUAAAACACUCACAUUUUCUCCCAUAAUGUGCACACUAGCGAUGCCCAACGAAUUGGAGCCAACUUGGGUUCACCACUACAAAGGACCUUGGCACUUAUCUAGGCACGCCUCUACUCACAAGCGGAUAACCAAGUAUACUUACCAGACCAUCAUUGAUUGGGUUCAACAAAAACUUUCUGGGUGGUCAGCAAAGCAUCUUUCCUUAGCAGGUCGGAUUACUCUCACGCAAUCAGUUAUCUAGUCACUUCCAUCUACUGUAUGCAAACCACAAUGCUCCCUACGAGUAUUCGAAAUAAGAUCGACCACAUAUGCAGACACUUUAUAUAAAGUGGGAAGGAAGAAAACUACCGUAUAAGCCUUAUUAGGUGGGAGAGUAUUCAACUUCCCAAAUCCCAUGGAGGCCUUGGUUUAUAGGAUCUUAACCUUAUGAACAAGGCAUUACUUAUGAAAAUUGGCUGGGGCAUUCUCGACUCACCAAACAGUCUCUGGAUUAAAGUCUUGAUAUCUAAGUAUGGUGUUAACAGCAAUGAUCUUCCUUCUUCGCUCCCAACUAAACAUGGGUCACCUCUAUGGAAGGCAGUGGGAAACAUAUGGAAGGAAGUCCUUUAAGGGGUUCGUUGGGCUCUAGGCAACGGCAAGACUGCGAGGUUCUGGAAAGAUUGUUGGAUGAUGGACGACCACUGCCUUCAGAAGUAUGCUAUUGGCCCAAUCCCUGACAGCUUGGUUAAUCAAUAUGUAGCCAGGUUUAUGGAUCAAGAGGGUGCUUGGAAUUGGGGUCUGUUUGCUUCCCUUUUACCAAAUUAUAUUCUUUUCAAGAUUGCGGGUACAAUGCGACCUUGUGAGCGUGGAGUUGAGGACUGUUGUUUUUGGGGUACAUCAAAGUCUAGUUGUUUCACUGUAAAAUCUGCUUACUUCUACUUGUUUAAGUCGUGCCAAGUGGAAUAAUUCUCUUUGGAGUUCGAUUUGGCGAUGGAAUGGUCCCCAAAGUGUUCGUUGUUUCCUUUGGCUGUUAAUGCAUAACAGGUUGAAAACGAGGGCUGAGCUCCUUCGCAAACACUCGAUAGAUGAUUGUGCUUGCAUGAGAUGCGGGUUUCACGUGGAGGACACCUUACAUGCAGUAAAGGAUUACAUUGAUUCCAAACGUGUUUGGCUCGCUUUAAUUCCUAACCACUUACAUUUUACCUUUUUCAUGUUGGAUUUUCGGUCAUGAGUAAUCUGUAAUAUGAAGAAUAGCUUUCAAAUUGCGAACUUCGGGGAUUGGUCAGUGCUUUUUGGAGUCAGUGUGUGGAGGUUAUGGUUUUGGUGUAAUCAAUUUACUGAUACUAACAUAUCAUGUAGUAUUGGUAAUGUGCUAAUGGAUGUUCAUAACCGCACUGAGGAAAUUACUUUGACCCAUGAUUUUUUGAAGAAGCAGCAAUCCAAUAAAAUUGAGAAAUUGAUUCAUUGGCAACCCCCAACGUGGCCAUAUUUCAAACUCAAUACUGAUGGGGCUUUGAAACAGUCUGGUUUGGCUAGUGCUGGUAGUUUAGUGAGGAAUUGAUGUGGUGAGUGGGUAUGUGGUUUCAAUAUGAACUUGAGAAGUUGCUCUAUAAUGGGGGCUGAAUUGUGGGGCCUUUUUAAAGGGUUACAAAUGGCUUGGGAUCAUGGCAUCCGUUUCCUAAGGGUAGAAGUUGACAACUUGAGCAUUACUCAAAUUUUAGCUGAUCGUAACUAUCACAGUAAUGCUAAUUCUUCAUUGAUUUGGGGAAUAAAGGUUUUGCUAAGCCGAGAUUGGUUGAUUUCAGUGCAUCAUGUGUAUAGGGAAGCGAAUUUUGCUGCUGACUUCUUUGCAGGCAUGGCGCUCACCCUCCCACUUGGUUUCCAUUUAUUUCAUCAACCUCCCCCAGGCAUGACCCAUUGGCUGUUCAGUGAUGGUUUGGGGACUGCUUUCCCUUGUUUUUGUUUAACCUAAGCACUGGCUAGGUUACUUUUGUAUAAAAAAAAAAAAAUUUCAUAUGUGAUCUAGUUCAAUAUAGUCAAAUUAAAUCAGUAAAUUCAUACAUGAUUAAGAUAAAUCAUUCAAUAAAUUUACUAUAGUCUAAACAUAAAUAGAGCGCCCAACUCUAUUUAUCAAUUGUGAACUUAAUUUAUUUAAUUAUAAGAUAACUUGUAUUUAUCUCUUAUGUGAAUCCAUAUGAUGAUCACAUAAAUACAUAUAAUAUGAUUAAAUGGACCUUAUUCAAAAUAUUUAUGCAAUUAAGAUUUUUAAAAAAUAUCUCAAAUAUUUUAUUAAUUAAAAAAUAAAUAAAUCAAUAUGUUUUAAAGAGCACAUAAUCCCAACAAAAAUACCCCAGUUCAAGUUUAUAUUUUCCUAGGGUGUUUGUAUCUAAUGUUGUUUUGGAUCAAUUAUUGCAUAGUGAGGAUGUAUAUAUGAAAAUUAUGGCAUAGAAAAUGAUCGAAAAGUUUGAAAAGUAUUGGUUUGAUUUUUGUACCAUUUUGGCGAUUGUGGUCAUCUUGCAUCCUCGAUACAAGUUGGCAUUCAUUAAGUUUGCCUACGACAACACUUAUGAUCAAAAUUCAAAGUAGUUAGAACUUGUUCAUGAUAAGUUGUUUUCAAUUUUUAAUGAGUAAAAUUUUAUCACACUAUCUUUUUCCACCACAUCCACACUUACUUAAAUGAGUGAUAUUGGUUCAAGUGUGGGACAUAAUGACAAUAGUCAGAAUACACUUAACCAAUGGACCAUGGAACUAUUCAUGGUACAUUUACAAUUUUCUUUUCUGUUAUUGUGACAAUUAUUAUUGCCUUAUUUGUACUUGUUUUGGAUUUUGACAAUUCUUAUUUCUUAAUUAUUUUAUAGGAGUUUGAUGAUCUUAUUAACAUGGAUUGUUAUGCCUAUGUUAGAAAAUCUGAAUUAGAGCUUUAUUUGGAUGAACCAAGAAUAGAUUGAUUGAUUUAAACAUUCUAAGUUUUUUGAAAGGAAACAGAUUUUGUUAUCUUAACCUUUCUUCCAUGGCUCGUGAUAUCUUAAGCAUUCCUAUAUCCCUGUUGCAUCUGAAUCGGUUUUUAGUAUUGGCAGUCAAGUUCUUGAUCAAUUUUAAAGUUUAUUGAAAUCAAAGAUUUUCCAAGCAAUUAUUACUAUAAGAGAAUGGGAUGUUAUGAGAGAUUGGUAAGACUUGCUAAUGAAAUUAAUUAAUUUUUUUUAUAAAAUUAUAUCAAUUUUUUCUAAUUAAGAUUUAUUUUUAUACAAUUAGGGCAUGUUUGGUACUCCUCAUUAUAUGGUAUUAAAACCACUCAAAGUAUUAAAGGAUUAUAACGCCAUGUUUUGUAAUUUUAGGGUGCGUUUGGCACACCGUAUUGUAUUAUAUUGUAUUUUAAUGUAGGUAUACUAUAUUUUGUUGUAUUGUAUUAGCACUGUAUUAUCAUAUGUUAUACAAUGUUUGGUGCUACAUUGUAUUGUAUUAAUUUUCAAUUAAACUAUAUUUUGUGUUAUAUUGUACUGUAAUAUUUUUUUUGAGUAAUUUAUAUUAUAUAUUUAGAAAAUAAUGUAAUAAUUUUUUGAGUAAUUUAUAUUAUAUAUUUAGAAAAUAUUAUUUAUUAAUAUUUAGAAAAAUACUAAAUAUAGAAGUUUAAAUUUAUAAAUUUAACAAUUGUUUUAGUGUAAAUGUUAAAAAAUAUCAUAAUUCUUCAUAACUAUCAAAGCUUAUAACCUUAAAUUUUCAGAAGCAUUACAUUUAUUUUUCACAAUUUUCUAAAUAUAUGAUCUGUGAGAUAAAGAUCAAAACAAAUAACUUAAUCAAAUAAUCUCUAAUAAUAUAACAACAUAAAUAAUUAAUUAAAACCUAGAAGAUUAGUUCAAAAGUUAUCUUAGGAUAAUGAAAUAAAAAUUUAUACACACCACAAGAUGAUAACAAAUUAAUAAAGUGAUAUAAUUGCUAUAACAUAUUCACUAACAAAUGAAUUGUGCUAAAUAAUCCAAGUAAAAGUUCUGUAGUAUAUGCAAUAAUAUUUUAUAUUAUUAUUUAAAUUAAUAAUAUUAUUAAUUAUAUUAAAUUAUAAAUUUAAUAAUAAAUUAUAAUGUAAAAAUAAAAAUAUAAAAAAAUAUUAUUGACUAAUAAAUUAUUAAUUUAUUAAUUUAUAUCAAUAAUUAUAAUGUAAAAAAUUAAUAUUAAUAUUAUAUAAUAUAAUAUUCAAAUUCAAAAGUUAUAUUUAUUCAUUUUUAUUUUUAUUAUUAUUAAGAAAAUUGAAAAAACUUAAUAAGAGGCAAACUAAUGUUGCAACUGCCUCAUUAGCAUAUCCCAUUAACGCAGUGUAGCUGUAGCAGCUUUUAGCGCCAAUCAUGAGCUUGUAUAAAUUGAAUACAAAAUAGUGUUUUUAUCCCAUAUAAUGUAGGCUACCAUACACACCCUUAAUGCAUAGUAUUGUAAUGUUUUGGGUUUAUGCGGAUUUGUAAAUUGUAAUUAUUUUGAGGCAAAGUUCUCCUUAUCGUUUAUGUCUCAGAUGAAACAAUCACUAUUGUAAAGGGAUGGCAGGGAAAAAGAAAUAAGCUAAGACGGAGGCACUCGAUGAACUUGCUGAGCCACUCAUUUACCAAACCAACUCUUUAAAAUUCCUCAAAUCCUCUGCAAACAAAGCCUCUAAGUAACUCAAAACCAUAAAAAUCGAAAAAUCUAGCUAAAAUCUCCACCAAAAUGAUAGACCGCGUCGAGACCAGCCUCAAAGAAUCUAGCCACAAUUUGUUCUUGUUCAAGUUCAAAUUCGACGACAUUAUCGUCCUCGUUCUGUUCAAAGGGAAAGUUAUAGCAAAAUUACUGUUCAAGCCCUUUGGGAUUGUCAUGAAGAUGUGCCAUCGUAGGCUGCAAGGUGACACGUUAAAGUGAGAGUACAGCAGAAACUUACACUUGUGCCGUAUCAUUUAGAUUUGGGAUGGAUUAGUCGAUGAAAUUGCUUGGAAUUUAGUAGUUGGGGUGUGGGGUAUCAUCAAAUUUACACACAUAAAAAAAAAAAAAAACAGAAGCAAAGAAGGUUCGACUGGCACUCAGCAACUCAAGUAAAUUUGAAUGUACAAACAAAAUGGAACUUGUGAUUGAUAAUCAAUCAAUAUUUUAGUGAAAAAAAAAUUGAAGCAAAGAUUUCAAUGCUUGAUAAAUACGUUACCAUUUCAUACUCUAAAAUGCAGUCUCUGUACCAUUCUCAUCCAUGUUCUUGAAUAAAUAAAUCUUUUUUAUUUAUUGCUUUAAAAAAAAUCUCCCUAUCAUUAUUUGAAUGAACUAAUGGCUUUUAUCUUCAUUUCACAAGUUAUAUAUUUAGGAAAAGCCAAAAAAAGAUAAAUGUUAUGCAACUGAAAUUUUAAAUUUUGUUAGUUUUACAUAUGUUUUAGGGAGAAUUAUAAUUUUUUUCACAUUUAUACUAAAAACAUAAUGUAAACGUUCUAAAAUCUAAAUUUUCUAUAGUUAGUAUUUUCCUAAGUAUCGUACUAAUAAAUAUUAUUUUCUAAAUAUAUAAUUUAGAAUAAUCACCAAAAAUGAUUAAUACAUUACAGUGCAACACGAAACAUAAAUUAAAUUAUAAAUUAAUACAAUAUAAUGGAGUAUCAAACACUGUACAAUAUUAUUAUAAUACGGUUAUAAUGUAAUACAGUAUAAUAAAUAAUUUUGUAUUAAAAUAAUGUAAUAUAAUAUAAUAUAAUACUAUAUAGUACGCCAAACGCACUCUUACUGUAGAAAAUUUUGAUGUCAUUUUGGCCCAACUUACUGAAAACAUUAUGAACUAAUAGUGCUCGAUCUCAAGAGAGUGCCAAUGAUGCUAGUGACAAUGUGGGAGUGUGAUAGGGAAAGUUUUAUCUUGCUGAUUUUUCUUGCCUUUGUAGAUUUAAUCAUUAUUUCCUUAUCAAUACUACAAAAUUUGGUAAAUGGUUGAUAUUUUGAAAUGUUACGAUGAUGCUAGUGACAAUGUUGUUUUGGAUCAAUUAUUGCAUAGUGAGGAUGUAUAUAUAAAAAUUAUGGCAUAGAAAAUGAUCGAAAAGUUUGAGAAUAUGGCAUUUUGGAUCACUCAAAUGAGUUUUGGUUUUAUUUUUGUACCAUUUUGGCGAUAGUGGUCAUCUUGCAUCCUCGAUACAAGAUGGCAUUCAUUAAGUUUGCCUACGACAAUACUUAUAAUCAAAAUUCAAAGCAAUUAGAACAUGAUCAGGAUAAGUUGUUUUCAGUUUUUAGUAAGUACAAUUUUAUCAAACUAUCUUUCUCCACCACAUCCACACUCACUCAAAUGAGUGAUGUUGGUUCAAGAUUAGGACAUAAUGACAAUAGUUAGAAUAUACUUAACAAAUGGACCAUGGAACUAUUUAAGGUACAUUUACAAUUUUCUUUUCUGCUCAUUGUAAAAAUUAUAUUAUUGUCUUAUUUGUACUUGUUUUGGAUUUUGACUAUUUUUAUUUUUUUAAUUAUUUUGUAGGAGUUUGAUGAUCUUAAUAGCAUGGAUUGUCAUGCCUAUGUUAGAAAAUCUGAAUUAAAGUUUUAUUUGGAUUAACCAAGAAUAGAUAGAAAGAUUAAUUUAAACAUUCUAAGUUUUUUAAAGGAAACAGAUUUCGUUAUCUUAACCUUUCUUCCAUGGCUCGUGAUAUCUUAAGCAUUCCUAUAUUUCCUAUUGCGUCUGAAUCAACUUUUAAUGUUGGCAGUCAAGUUCUUGAUCAAUUUUAAAAUGUAUUGAAAUCAAAGAUUGCCCAAGCAACUAUUACUAUAAGAGAUUGGAUGUUCGGAGAGAUUGUAAGACUUGCUCAUGAAAUUAAUUUAUUUUACUUUUAUAAUAUUAUAUUCAAUUGUUUCUAAUUAAGAUUUAUUUUUAUAAAAUUAGGACAUUUUGGUACUCCUCGUUAUAUAGUACUAAAACCCUCAUAGUACUAAAGGAUUAUAAUCCCAUGUUUUGUAAUUUUAAUGCAUAGUAUUGUAGUCAAAUAUCUAAUUUAUGCUAUCAAACCCACACGGACUAAACUCACGAGGAAAUCGGGUUUAUCCGGAUUUGUAAAUUGUAAUUCUUUUGAGACAAAGUUCUCCCUAUCGUUUGUGUCUUAGAUGAAACAAUCACUAUUGCAGAGGCAUGGGAGGGAAAGAGGAAGAAGGUAAGAUAGAGGCACUUUAUGAACUUGCUGAGCCACUCAUUUACCAAACCAACUCUUACAAAUUCCUCAAAUCCUCCAUCAACAAAGCCUCCAAGAAACUCACGACCACAAAAAUUGAAAACCUAGCUAAAAUCUCUACCGAAAAGUCCAGGACCAAAACGAUAGACCGCAUCAAGACCAGUCUCAAAGAAUCUAGCCACUAUUUGUCCUCGUUCAAGUUCAACUCCAACACCAUUGUCACCCUUGUUCUGUUCGAAGGGAAAGUUGUAGUGAAAUUAUUAUUCGAGCCCUUUGGGAUUGUCAUGAAGAUGAGCCAUCGUAGGCUGCAAGGCCACAUGUUAAAGUGAGAGUACAAUAGAAACUUACAGUUGUGCCGCAUCAUUUUGAUCUGGGAUGGAUUGCUUGAUGAAAUUGCUUGGAAUUUAGUAGUUGGGGCCUGAGGUAGCAUCAAAUUUAUGCACGUAAAAAAAACAGAUGCAGAGAAGCUUCAAUCGUCACUUAGCGACUCAAGUAAAUUGGAAUGUGCAAACAAAAUGGAACUUGUGAUCGAUAAUCAAUCAAUAUUUUAGUGAAAAAAAAAUUGAAGCAGUGAUUUCAAUGCUUGAUAAAUACGUUGCCAUUUCAGACUCUAAAAUGCAGUCUUUGUACCAUCAUCAUCCACGUUCUUGAAUAAAUAAAGCUUUUCUAUUUAUUACUUAAAAAAUAAUCUCCUUGUCGUUAUUUGAAUGAAUUAGUGGCUUUCAUCUUUAUUUCACAAGUUAUAUAUUUACGAAAAGCAAAAAGAAAUAAAUGUUGUGCAGCUGAAAUUUUAAAAUUUGUUAGUUUUAGAUAUGUUUUAUGGAGAAUUAUAAUUCUUUUUACAUCUAUGAUAAAAAAAAUAAUGUAAAAGUUCUAAAAUCUAAAUUUUCUGUAUUUAGUAUUUCCUAAGUAUUGUACUAAUAAAUAUUAUAUUCUAAAUAUAUAAUUUAGAAUAAUCACAAAAAAAAAUUAAUACAAUACAAUGCAACACUAAACAUAAUAUAAUUAAAAAUUAAUAUAGUACAAUGUAGUAUCAAAUAUUGUAUGAUAUUAUUAUAAUACAAUUCUAAUGUAAUACAAUAUAAUAGAAUAUAAUACAAUACAGUACGUCAAAUGCACCCUUACUGUUGAAAAUUUUGAUGUCAUUUUGGCCCAACUUACUGAAAACAUUAUGAACAUAAGCACUAAUAGUGCUUGAUCUCAAGAGAGUGCCAAUGAUGCUAGAGACAAUGCAGGAGUGUGAUAGGCAAAGUUUUAUCUUGCUGAUUUAUCUUGCCUUUGUAGAUUUAAUUAUUAUUUCCUUAUCAAUACUACAAAAUUUGGUAUAUAAUUAAUAUUUUGAAAUAUUAUAAUGACUCUUAUCAAUGUUGCAACGUGUAGAAUGUUUAUAAUAUUUUGAAAUAUUUUUGAUAUUUUGAAAUAUUACAAUACUAUUCUAUUUACUUUUUCCUUGUAGGAUUCUUGUUUUCAAUGUGACAAUGACAAAAUGAAGAGAAUUAAAGAAAUCACCUUAGUUUAUAAUUUGAAUUUUAAUUGAUAUUAUUUGGAUUAUUAAAAAUUUAUAAUUUGGUGUUUGGAUGACUAAAUAUUUAAUCUAAGAAUAUAGUUUGGAUUAUUUAUAUUUUGUAGAAUGUUAAAUUUGUGGUCUUUUUAUUUUAUUUUGCCUAAUUUUUGUUUAUUAAUUAUAUUUUUGUAAACAAUAGUAAAUGGAUUCAUAUUUGAUUUGCUUCAUUUAUUAAUUUUACUAAAUAAGUUAAACGAAUCAAACCAAAUAUUUAUUUAAUAAAUAAAUCAAAUCUAAAUCCUAUAAUUCACUAGUAAAAAAAUAGCUUUCUCUGAUACUAUUUUGGUAUCAGAAACUUGUUUUACUAACACCGAAUUUAGUGUCAUUGAAUACGGUACAAGAAAUUUAAUGACACAAGUUUUUUGCAUCAGCGUAUCUAUGUCACCAUAGUAUCAAAAAAAUGUUGAUGCUUGAACAUCACAUCUAUAACGAGACUAAGGUAUCAAACAAAUAAUGAUACGAAGGCAUAAUAAAUAUAACGAUACUUUGGUAUCAAUGUUUAUUGAGAAAAAUUUUUAAAAAGAAAUCGAUAUAAUAGAAAUUGAAAAUUUGCAAUUGGCAUUUGAAUUGAAAUUUACAUUCAACAAUAUGAAAACUAUUACAUUGCAAUGAAUAAUUUAAAAAUUAUUACAUUGUUUGAAACUUAUUACAUUGUUACCAACUACAAAUAAUUUAUAAAAUGAUAUAUAAUAACAGCACAAUCUUCCAACACAUGUUUAUUGCUUCUGCGGAUUCUUUCUUUCGGUAAUCGAAAUGAAGUCUUCUAUUAUUGUUUCCAUGUUCCAAUUUGACAUUUGCUCUGAUUAUUUAGUUUUGACCCAUAUACAUGCUUUGGUUUAUUGUAAGUCAUCUUGCACCAUUCAAGACAUGCACAAUAAAAAAAACUGAUAAAAUUUACAUGCUGCAAUCUACAUAGUUUCCUAAUUUCUUCAAAAUUGUAGUUUGUACGCACACAACUACUGAAUCUAAAUGGUAUGAAACUAAAUUAACAUAUUGUUUGUGCAUAGUUAUUAACUGAAGAAAAAAAUAAAAAUUAAUUAAACUUAGAGCUAUCAAUUUGUUAAAUCAAAAGUGUAUUAAGAAUAAGCAAAAAGGGUGGUUACUAGCCUCGUUGAGAAAAGUAUAGGUAAUUUUGCCGCUGGUCUUUCUUUGUUGGGCAGUCUAGAAUCAUCACAAUGAAUGUGAUGAAGGGUAAUUUUUAAUAACCUCUCUUGAAGUUUGAGGCUGUUGUAAAUAGAUAGCAAAAAUCAUUUUAUUUGUUAAAAGCUCUCUACCGUCAGUUAAAAUUUUUAUUGACUAACUGUUGAUUUUAAAAAGACAAUAUUACCCCUAAUCCUCAUUUUCUGCUUUUCUCUUCAAAUUAUUUAUUACACUUACUUUCCCAGAAUCAGAAAGGUUAUAGUUUUUAAGUUGGCGUCUUGCAUGAAGUCUCCGUACAAUGACAAGUUUGUUAGUUUAAAUACAUCGCUAAUCUCACCGUCUUAAUGUCUCGUUACUCAUACACAAAGUAGGAAGCAUAUAUACUUACAUAGUCCUAACCUAAAUAAUAAGGGACGUUGUAAAUCGUUUCAAGGCUUCGUUUACUCAAUAUUCACAAAAAUCUUCCAACUCUUACCCAAAACUACCCCACCAGUAUUACCACCACAACAAGCACCGGCUGCGGAUCAGCAAAACCUAGAUUGGACAAUGAUAAUGAUAGCCUUUUUUUUUUUUAAGCAACCCAUGCAUCAAAUUUAUUUCAUCAAAAGAAAGAGAAAAUAUUGCUCAGAAUUUUGACAAUAGUUCUCAAUCCAUCAACAAAACCCACAAAUCAAAACCACUAUAGUCUCAACUACAUAGCAAUUUCAAUUAUGUUUCACAACUUCAACAAGAGUUGUAGCUAAUUCACAAGAACCUUAAGCUUCUGAAAAAAUAGAGGCACAUCAGCUUGCUUCAAUACCUGUGUGCCAACUUCUCCUUCUCCUGGUAAUUUUGGACAUACGCGUAGGUACCGACGAGAGGACCGAGCAAAAGGAUAGUGCUAAUCCAAUUAUCGGCGACCUUGUGAUGGAUCUUACCCGUCAAAUCCUUCCAAAGCCCCGACAUAAUCUUUUGUUGAAAUGGCGACAGUGCGUACACCACCGCCUUCAUUCUCACCGGCUGCUUUCCCAUCUCUUUUACUUUAUCUCUCCCUCGUUUCUUAAUUUCUCGCAAUUUCUCCAAAAAAUGUGGACCAUUUCUCGAUUUGUGCGUGUCAUCCUUGCGCAGGGGCCAUGCUAAUCUUCUCUGUAUCGUUCCAAUUUUAUCGGAUGUUCCAAUCUUCUCUGGACCAUCUCUUUUGCUUACCAUCGACCAUUGAAAUCGCUCUUCAAUCUUUGCAGGUUCAAUCCCAGCUGCCUCUCAUGUUCCAUUUCCUUUCUCUUGCCGUCAUAUUUUCCUUCACUUUCCUUUUCCUCGGCAAACUCAUGCGUACAAGAUUUCCUAUAGCAGCCCAGCAGAAAAAUUUAUCAAAAAAUUUGAGCUUGAAACAGCAGCAAAUCAACCCAAAUACUUCGUUGUCCGGAAAAGCCAAAUCCCUCUCUUUAACAGAAGCUAGUUAUCGUCCUCCUCUUCAUUUUUUUUCUUUUUUGCUUCACGGUUUCUGCCAAACAAUUAGGGAUUUAGAAUAACAGUAAGGGAUACAUGUUACCUUUACAAACGAUUCCUUUCUUUUUCUGAUUUUUACUUCAUAAUUUCUUUAUUUUAAUAAUUAUUAAACUCUAAACCGUUAGAUUCAUUUAAAUUGAAUCCAACGGUUAGAUUUAACUUUCUGCAGCAUAAAUCUAAAUGACAAGUCAUCUUAGGCAACAAAAUUAUAAAGUAUUUGGUAAUAUUUUGAAAUGUCAAUAAUACCCCCACCUACCCAAACGGUAAGUAAACGGAGCAAAAAUGUAAGGGGUUUUUUACAAAUAAAAUGAUUUUCGCCAUCUAUUUGCAACAGCCUCAAACCUCAGGGGAGGUUUUUAAAAAUUACCCAUGUGAUGAAUAAGACCAUUUGCACUGGAACACUGAGAAAUCCCAAGGCUUAAGUCAAGAUUGUGGUUGUUGCUACUACCUGCAUUAAAAAAAUGACAAUUAAGUUACUAGAAACUAAAGUAAAUGCAUUACAAAUAGAUAAUACGGUGCCAUACACAUUCGACAAGUUUCAUACUUUCAACAAAAAGGCCUAACUGGACAAGACUCAAAACUAUACUUUGCAAAUAAAUAAUGAAUUUUUAACUCCUCCAUUACACCCUUCCAUAACUGAAAGAUAGAUAACAUUGCAUCAUCAUCAUUAUAACAUUCUUCUGCCAAUUCAUGCCUAAACAUUCACACCAAAAUGUAACACCAGCUGACAGGUAGCUACACCCCUCAACUCUAAAUAUAGGAUAAGAAAAACAAAUAUGUUUCCUGUUGCUUAUAUUAUAUCCUGAUUUAUGCUUUAGAAAUUGAAACUCAUCCACAAACAAAUAUGUUUCCUGAUUUAAGCAGUUAUGUUAGUUACCUCAAACCGCCAAUAACAACACUAUAAAUAACACAAUCAGCAAACAGCAAACCAAAAAAAAAAAAAAGGAUACAUAAUCAUAUCCUAUUUAAGUGAAUGUAAAUCGAAGGCUAUAAUUAGUUAGUAGACAAUAACAUCAUGUUUGCGAUAUGCGAAUCAAAACAGAUAUUACAUAUAAUUAUUUUUUUAAAAAAAAUUACUAACCGGCUUAUCUCAAGCAGACAUGUAAUAAAUCAUGAUUUCCAUCAAAUUAAGCAAAAUUUAUCAAAAUUAAUCAAACUACAGCUAUAGAAACAAUAAAAUCACAGUCGAAAUUAAGAGAAAAUUAGAAAAAAUUCAAAAAGAGAAAGAAAAUCGAUGAAAGAAAUGGAGCAAACACUAACCUUUGUUUCUCUGCCAAUGAACCCAUAUCUUAAUUAAUUGAAAAAAUCACUAUCAAUAAAAAAUUUAUUAGUGAGGUUAGGGUUUGGGUGAAUGGCUUUUUAGAGAGAACUAUUUAGGGUGCUUCUAGCUUUCGAAUAAUCAGAGAGAAGGAGUACGGAUGGAUUUUGUUUUGUUUUGAGGCAAAUGAGAUGUUUUGUGGCUGGGGAGUUAGGGAUUUGAGUUUUGGUUUCGACUGUGAGAGAAAGAACGGCAGAGAGGGAAAGCGAUGGGAGCCGCCGAGAUAGAGGGAGUGAAGGCGACGGAAGCAACCGAGAGCCAGGACAACAGAUCUGAGCUGUUGGGUAAUGCACCCAAUGUUAGCGAAGUGGUGGGUGCAAAUUAACUCCCAAAGGUGCUCAUUUUGAGUGCCUUGUGCCAUAGCUUGUUGACGUAAGCCGCCCGCAACAAAGUCCUGGUGUCUGCGUGUUUCAACACCUCGAACAGGGAGUUCUCAUCUAGAUUUGUGAAGCCAGUUUCUUUGACUUGCUCUUCCUCUUUCUUAUUCCUCCUCAUCUUGUUUGACUUUUUUCAUCCUUUGGUUUUCUUCGGUGGUGACCGAAGAAUGAAGACCCAUACGCUUCAUAAAGUAAAACUAGAGAAAAGCAGGAAAUGGAAAUGUUGGUGAGGAGGAGGAUGAUUUUAUUUUGUUGGGAGACUGAGAGUAAUUGUUUUGUUAAGACUGAAAAGGCUGGGUGAUUUGUUUUGUUUCAAUUUAGGGUUUCUUGAAAUGAGUGGGAAGGAUUUAGGAGAGAGGGAAGAUGAAGAGGGAACAGUACUUUCGUUAAGGGCCAAAUAUUUUCACAAUUGUUGAAUUUAAGAUACCCUAAUUUUAAAAGUAAAACUACGUCGUUUAGAAUAAGAAUAAGAAAAAUUAAAAAUAUAUAUCUAGUAUCAGUAAAAGUUUAUGAUACUGUAUUAUCAAUAACCACCGGCACUAAUAUGCAAAACACAUUAAAAGUUGCUUAGGUCAUCAAAUAUUGAUAUUUUUUUUAUUUAAUCUUAGGAACUUAGUAUCAGUGAAUGUCAUUUUUUUAGUAGUAAUUUCAAUUUGUUUAAUAAAUAAAUCGAAUUUAAAUCAGUACAAUGUUGACUCAAUUCAUUUAUAAUUCUAUUUAAAUUUGAUUUUUUUAUCCGUUUUGCUACCCCUGCACAAUCUUCACAUAACUUUAUAUAGCCUCUAAUAACCUCAUGAAUUGCUGAACUUCUAACUACAAUCUCACGUAAAGCUUUUUAACUCUUUAGAAUGGGUAGUGACUUCAAGUGCAUAUUUUCUAGUAGAUUGUCUAUUUUUAUAGGUUUAACGAUAGUUUAGUUUCUUCCUCACCUACAUGAAUAGAGUUUGAACUUUAGGCUUUUUAUGUCAUCCCAAAAGAUUAUACCAGUUAAGCUUAUUACCGAAUCGGAUCGCAUGCGUUUUAUGUAGAGUUAACAUUAACUUACAUGUUUUUUUUUUUUAUCUAAUAACUACUUAUCACAAUAAUAUAUAUAUAAAAAGCCAUCACAAAUAUCAGAACUGAAUCCACAGUGCACCCGCUGCAUCACAAAUAAUUCCUUAUUGCAGUGGCUUCAGGGCAAAAAAGCCGGCCUUGCCAUGUAGAGAUACUUUACUUAAACAAAAUAAAAGGAAAAGACAGAACAUGCUAACAAUUUAUCAACAUCAAACUACUUACGUACUGAACUAGACAAAUAAAAAUAAAAAAAAUUAUAAAAAUGAAGGAAAGAGAGAACAUACAGACACAUAAAAAGAAAUCUUGCACUUAAAGAAGCUGCCGCUUAUAGAUUCUAGAGAGAGAGAGGUUAAAACUAUUCUCUCCUGCUCUCUCUACAAACAAAGAAUUUCUCAAAUUAAAAGGUGAAAAGCAAAACACAUUACUCUGUUUUUGAGUCUCUCUCUCUUUUCAUCAUUUUUUUUUCUGUGAUUUUGUUUUAACAUGAUUUGUUUAAUUACUUGGUUUUUUAAGGGUUUGAAGGAAGCAAGUGAUUUUAUUGAGAAGAGAUGGAUAGAAUGCAUGAAGCUGUGGAUUUGGUAUUGAAACAGAGAUUGUCCUCUCUGUUCUUGAUUGUUUUUAUUACUGUUUUUUGCGUUUUUAUGUUGAGUUUACAAAUUAAGGAAAAAAAGACACCAACACACCUAUGGCUUGGCAAGAUAUAGUCACAGUGAUCUUUUUAUUUUGAAAAAUCGUCACAUAGACUCAUAGAUCUCUUUUACGACAAUUAUUGUUAUUUGAUUAUAAUAACCAGACUAAAUUUUAUCCGAAAAAAAAUUAUCUAUGUGACAGUUUCUAAACAUAAGGGUAUGUCUAUGACUAUAACUAUUUCGUCAAAUCAUGAGAGUGUUGCCAUUUUCUUCAGUGUUGUUAAGUGUUUUUGCUUUCUAGGUAUUUUGUUUUGUAAGGAAGUUCAAGUUUUGGUCUGCAGGAAAACGCAGCGAUGCAAGAGGUUUUUGAGACUUUGAAGUGCAAAUGCAAUCGAGAGGGCCUUUCAACGGAGGUAGCCGAGCAGAGACUUCCCAUAUUAGGCUACAACAAGCUUGACGAGAAAAGGGCAUUUUUACUUUUGUCAUUUUUUUUUUCCUUGUUAGCUUUCUUAUUGGAAAGUUCUAUUAAUUAAAAAAAAAAAAAAAGAUACCUUUUUAAGGAUUGUAAGACAUUUUACUUUUGUUGAUUGUAUUUUUAUUUUAUUUUAUUUUAUUUUACUUAUUUAUUAUUAUUAUCAUUAUGAUUUAGCAGGAAAGUAAAAUUUUGAAGUUUUUGGGAUUUAUGUGGAACCCUCUCUCAUGGGUCAUGGAAGCUGCAGCUAUCAUGGCAAUCGUACUUGCAAAUGGGGGAGUGAGUAUUAAGUACUGGUUUUCAAAUUAUAUUUUUAAAAUUUGUUUUAGAAAAAAAAAAUGGUGUUUUCUAUUUGAUGUUUUCGGAAAUGAAAAUAUAUCUAAUAGCUCAUUUUGUAAACAAUAUCUAAAAAUGAAAUUUAGCUAAAAACGCAUUUGAUAAUUUAUGCAAGGAUAUGAAAAGCUUUGAAAACGUGUUAGGGAUAAAGUUGUUUUUCAAUAAUAGCAUCAUACAAAUAUAAAUUUGGCAUCAAUUUUGUUGAUUUUUUUUUUUUUUUUUGGGUUGCGUAUUUACUAAUUUCAUAAUGUGUUCCUAUAACAUAUUAAUGCGCUAUUGCCCAAAAUAAUUACAUGCAAUAAUUAAAUUUAGAGAUAUUAUUCAUUCUAAAGCUUGUAAUUUUUAUUAUUAUUGUAAACCAGUGGUAGCUAGGAGACGAGUGAAUUAUCAUUUUUUUAUUUUUUUUAAUUAUUAUUUUUAGAAGAAAGAGAAGAAGAAGAAGAAGAUAAUUAGGUCAUUUGUAAUAAUCAAGUAGCCAUUGUAUCAUGAACACACAAAUUUCCCAUUUUUCAUUAUGUACGCAGGCUAAGAAUUUAAGUUUUAUUGGACAAGAUUACUUUGGCUCCGUUUGGUACAACUUAUUAAAUAGAGCUUAUAACAGUAGAGUUUAUACCAAUAGAGUUUUUGAACAAAAAGUCAUUGGAUAUUUAGUUGUCAAUAAAAAAAGUACUUUUAAACCAUUAAACUAUGUGAUAUUUUUUAUAUUAUAUAUUAUUAUACAAGAACCAGUUCCAGAAUUAACAUUUGACUAGGGAUGGCCAUUUGUGGAUUUGGGCUGGGCUUUUCAAAGCCCAGAGCUAAGCCCACAUCAUUUAAACAAAUUAUAAGCCCGUCUAAAUUUGGGCGGGUCGGGCUGGGCUUGGACAUAGACUUUUUAAAAUUAAUUAUAAAAAAUUUUUAAUUAAUUUUUUUUUAAAAAAUUAAAGAUAAUCAUCUAAUAUAUAAAAGAAUAAUAGUUCAAUACAUAAAAUAUUCGUAAUACAAUCUAAUAAAAUAAUAAAUAUUAAUAUAAAAAAAUAAACUAAUUUAAUAUUUUGAUUUUUUUUCUUUUUUAUUUAAAUUAAAUGUAUUUUUUAUUCAUAAAUUAAAAAAACUCAAGCCAAGUUCAGAUUUUUUUACUAAGCCCUUAUCCAAUGCCAACACAUGUAGGCUUUGUAAUUUUAGGCCCAUAUCUAGGUUCGCCCGUUACGGACUGAACUUGGACCGGCCCAAGUUUUUUUGCCACUCCUAUAUUUAACUAUGGUUGUUUUAAAGCUAUUUUAAGAUAGAGUACAAAUUAUAAACAUACACGUAAAGAGGUAAAUAAUAAAAAAUUUGUUAUAACUUUAAUUUUGUGUUUACGAAAGAGUGUUGGAAUUCAUAGCGGUUCCUACGUAUACAAAUCCUUAACAUUUUGGUUCAACAGGAUCAGAGAAAAGAAAGUACAAACUUGAGUAGACCAGAUAGAUAAAAAGACCUCUGAAAUUCUGGCGAAAUUUUGACCAGAUAACACUGGGGCGAAGUGGGUCACGAGGCUCAAUUGGGUUUUGACGAAAUUUUUCAAUAUAAAAUAUUGAAACAGCCUUGUGGUCUUAAGAAUUUUCGAAAAUGCUUCCCAGAAUAUCUUUUUAUCUUUUGAAAUUACCCCAUGUCAAAUCCACCUUCUUACAGGAUAUAGGAUCUCCUUGCGGCCAAUUACAAUUUUCAAAGCAUAUUCAUUUUGGGGUGUCAAAACGAAUUUCAUCAACAUUCGAUGGAUUUAAAUUAGACCAUUUAUUAGAUAGAUUUGGAGUUAGAUUCGUUUAAUAAGUAGAUAUUGAUUUAACAUAAUUAGCAGCCAAGUUGAAUUCGUUUAAAUUCAUUUACCUACAAUUAAUCCUCAAACCAAAAUUAGUAAACAAAAAAUUAAGCAAAAUAGAUUAUCAAAAAUUUCAUUUGAUUCAAUCUCAUACCUUUCUUUUUGUCUUAUUCUCAGUUAGUUACCAAACAAACCUUACAACUUAAUAAUUUUAUUUUUAAAAAAAUUAAUAAAUGAAUAAUGGAGUCAAUUACAUAAAAUUUAGAUUAGAUGGGAAUAGCUUAUUUACCUAUAUUCCGAGUAAGGAAUUUGAAGAAGUAUAAAUAGCAAAAUGGAAAUAUAUUUCAACAAAGGAAUUUAGGCUUCAUUAAAUUUAAUCCUUACUGUUGGGAGCUUCAUUGUUGCAGGGUAAACCGCCAGAAUGGCAAGAUUUUAUUGGGAUAACAACCCUGCUUCUUAUCAAUUCAACGGUUUGUUUCAUUCAGGAGAACAAUGCAGGUGCUGCCAGCACAGCUCUCAUGGCUCAUCUUGCUCCUAAAGCUAAGGUACUGGCUACACUUGAAUAGUUGUCAGGUUAAGAUUAUUGAUAAGUUAGUGCAUAUGCAUAUCUAAUAAGUUUAUUGUGAACUUCAUAUCAACUUAACUCAAUGAGAAUUGGAAUCAGAAACUGUUAUGUCAUAUUAAUUUGUAAAAUAAUACUUUGUAAGAAGAGAUUGUGGCUCUAGGCUCUAGUAUUUCUGUAAUUGGAGAUUAUUUCAGGUCCUUCGAGAUGGAAAGUGGAAGGAGGAAGAUGCAGCCAUUCUUGUUCCUGGUGAUGUCAUCAGUGUUAAGCUUGGUGACAUUGUUCCUGCUGAUGCUCGUCUCCUCGAAGGUGAUCCAUUGACAAUUGAUCAGGUGAGCUUUUGCAAACUUUGUAUGUUUGAACUGAUUUGGUAAAGUUGGGCCGCUUAAUUUGAGUGCUUUCAAUUUGUACGUUGCAGUCUGCUCUCACAGGCGAGUCUCUUACCAUAAGUAAGGGUCCUGGUGACUGUGUAUAUUCCGGCUCUACAUGCAAACGAGGGGAGAUUCAAGCUGUGGUCAUUGCCACUGGUGUUCAUACCUUCCUUGGCAGGGCUGUACACCUUGUGGAUACCACAAAUCAUGUGGGUCAUUUUCAAAAGGCAAGAAAAUGCGAAUUCACAUUCCUUAAGACUUGUUUUUAUGUUCAAUCUCACAUUAUCAUUUGCUGAAACUCUUGCUCUCGGGCUUGUUUACAGAUCUUGACUGCAGUUGGAAAAUACUGCAUAUGUUCAAUUGCACUGGGGUUAAUAUUAGAGAUCAUUGUCAUGUACGCGGUUCAACACAGGGAAUACCGCACAGGACUUGAUAAUUUACUUGUGCUUCUUAUUGGAGGAGUUCCUAUUGCCCUGCCUACUGUUUUAUCAGUGAUAAUGGCGAUUGGCUCCCAACAAUUGUCUUUGCAGGUUGGUCUUAGUUGUUAUUUAUAAUGACAUUAGUUUUAAGUGGUCAUUGGUUGAUGAUUGCAAGCAUAUAUGGACUAAUCACUGCAGGGAGUUAUCACAAAGAGAAUGACUGCAAUAGUCAAUAUGGCAGGCAUGGAUGUGCUUUGCUGUGACAAAACUGGAACUCUAACUUUGAACAAAUUAACAGUUGACAAGAAUCUAAUUGGGGUUGGUAUAAAUUUUGCUCCCUUCUAGAAUUGCAAUGUGUAUUUCAACAUUUGGCCUGGAUUAUUGUUCAGAUCUUUGCUAAAGGAGUGGAUGUAGACACUGUUGUUCUGAUGGCAGCUCGAGCCUCCCAACUGGAAAACCUAGAUGUAAUAGAUGCUGCUGUAGUAGGAAUGUUGGCUGAUCCAAAAAAGGUAUAUUUAUGAAUUCUAGAAUUUCAUGUAUGUAUUUUAAUCUAGUUAAGCUUAACUGCUUUUGAAAUUUUUGUAUUCUCAAAGGCAACUUGUAGAAGAUUUUCUUAUUUUUUCAUCUUAGCAGUUUGUUGACAUUGAUUUCUUUUAUUUUGACCUUGUUCAGGCACCAGUUAUAUCUAGAGAAAUUUUGUUGCUUCUUGUUUUGUUUAAUCCUCUGAAAAAAUGCUUAAAUGUCAGUUUUCUUUUGCAUUGCUGGUGGAGUUUAAAUACUCUUAUGGUAUUACCUUUUCAAAAUGUUUUAAUUGGCGUUUUCUUUAUAUUAAGAUAGGUAUUCCAUCUGUUUGACUUUUCAUCUUUGUCAGGUGAUCAACUUGCAAUAGCGAAAGAAACAGGACGUCGUCUUGGAAUGGGAACCAACAUGUAUCCUUCAUCAGCCUUAUUGGGGCAGGACAGGGAUGAGUCGAUAGUUGCUUUACCAGUUGACGAGUUGAUUGAGAAAGCUGAUGGGUUUGCUGGUGUUUUCCCUGGUAAAAAGCUUGAUCUCCUAAUUUGCAUUAAUUAGUCGUCCACAUACUGAAGUCAGUGUCGUAUAGGUUUUACUGAACUUGAUGUAUGCAUAACUACAUCCUACAACCUUUUCGUUAUAUUGUAAUCGUAGCAUAUUUCUUUUUUUAACCCUUGCUUACACGGCUGUCCUUAUUUUGUUAAUAGAGCACAAAUAUGAGAUUGUGAAGCAUUUGCAAGCUAGGAACCAUAUAUGUGGAAUGAUCGGUAACAGUGUCAAUGAUGCUCCCGCUCUAAAGAAAGCAGACAUUGGCAUAGCUGUUGCUGAUGCAACUGAUGCAGCUCGUAGUGCUGCCGACAUUGUCCUGACAGAACCUGGCCUUAAUGUUAUCAUUACUGCCGUUCUAAAUAGUCGAGCAAUAUUCCAGAGGAUGAGAAAUUAUACGGUGAAGGUUUGUUAAGGAAAAGGUGUUCUAUAGUUGAUAGCGUACUGAAGGAUGGGCUUUGUGUGAGGCAACUGAAUUCCUGAACCUAUCUAAUUCUAUCUAUUCCACAUUCCUUAACCGACAAACAAACUAAUAAUUUUAAAGCUUACAUUUUACAUUGCUUUAGAGCCUGGUGGUGAAGAAAGCACUGAGAUUGAAAUAACAUGUCAUUGCUCAGUUAAUUAAUUUUAGAGCCUGAGGUAAAAUAGUAAUAAAUAAUAUAAUAAACCAGGAUGUUGGCGGUGGCGCCGUUCAUGAAAACUUGAUUUUUGUGGGCAUUGGUAACUUCUUCACAGUGCUUCAGACUUUUGCAAAAUUGAAACAAGAACAUGAGCAUUGUUUACUUGAAUUACUGGAUUCCUUCUUGCUCUAUCCCGACUUUUUGAUGCUUAAUUAAUUUCUUUCUUGUCGCAGAUAUAUGCAGUCUCCGAUACCAUCCAUAUUGGAGUAAGUUGUUUGCUGCUUGUUUCAAAUACCAUGUAGGAGAGUAUUGUGUAAUUUAUUUGGUAAUUGCAACUUUAAUCUUCUAUUGUAAUUAUUGCCCUGCUGAUGAAUAUGAAAGAGUCUUCACAAAAGUAGCUUGAAUAUCUCAGCUUGACGUCCUAUCAGCUUGACAUCCUGGCUGUUUCUCUUGGUGACAGUUUGCUUUCAGGCUGUUAGCUCUCAUCUGGCAGUUUAACUUUCCACCCUUAUUCUUAAUGAUGGUUUGUAUUUCCUUGACUCAGCAUGUAUAUCGUAACUGUUUGUAUUCCUUUUCAUCCAGGUGUAUAUACUUGUCUAUUGAUAUUUACCCGGUACAUUGAUUGCCGGGUGCUAUUAUUAUUACAAUAUCAAAAGAUAGAGUCAGACCAUCUCCUCAUCCAGAAAGGUGGAAUUUGACCGAGAUCUUUGUAACUGGAAGCAUUCUUGGUGGUUACUUGGCAAUGAUGACUGUGAUUUUCUUUUGGACAGCAUACGGGACAGACUUCUUUCCAGUAAUGUGAUUUAUCUUUUGUGUUAUCAUGCCACCCAAUUCGGGUGUUAUGUAUGCCCGUUUUCCUUGAUUUAAUAAUAUAGAGAAUCAAAUAUGCCUUUACAUUGUCUUCAAUACUUGUGAUACAGUUAGCCCCCGAUGGGUUGCCACAGUGUGACACCACUAUGUUCAGUGCACAAAGCAGUUACGGAGAACUUAGCCGGAUAGCUGAAGAAGCAAAAAGAAGAGCUGAGAUUGCUAGGUAAACAUAUAAAUUUAACGCCAACAAACUACAUUACUUACUUAAUUUCUACUCUUAAAAGCCGAAAUUUAUUGCUUGAAGCAUACACUCUUAUGCAUUCACUAUUUUGAUUUUUGGCAGAUUGAGAGAACUGCAUACACUGAAAGGGCACGUUGAAUCACUUAUUAGGCUUAAAGGACUGGAUAUCAAACCAAUUCCGCAAUCCUACUCCGUCUGAUACAGAUCACACGUGACACAUUCAUGGACAUGGAACUUUUGCUGAGAUUGCAGAUAUAAGUACCUUAGUCCACAAGUAAUUUUGCAAUUCCUCGUAAAAGAGUUAUAGUUGCAUUUCUGAUGUAUAUAUUUGCCUAUCUGGGUUGUGUUUUUUCAGUUUUACAUUCUGUGUUGCAUUCCUGAUGUACAUAUUUACCAAUCUGGGUUGUGUUUUUUCAGUUUUACAUUCUGUGUUUGAAGAAAUAGUAUGAUGGGUUUAAGUACUAUACGGUCAAUACUCGUGAUACAAACCAUUAUAAGAGUAAUAUAUUUCUCUAUCUGUUUAUUAAAAUUUUUAACCUUUUUUUCAAUGUAAAUAUGUUCAAAAAACUAGGGAGGUGGUGGAUAAAAUUCAGAUUGAAUUUUUAGUCUCAUAUCUUCUCAUAAUUGGAAUUUGAUUGAUCUUUAAAGAAAGGUACUUGAAAACUACUAGCCAAAGUUUUUUAACUUCUUUGUUUCAUUUCUUUUUGACAAUUUGAAAAAUGUAACCUGCUAUUUUUGGAAGUAAUCAAAAAGCUAUAAUAGAAUUUGCUUGCGUUUGUCUGAUUUCUUGAAAAUUAAGUUUAAAUUUCAUACUUUUGUGCGACUCACAGUAAGUUUUACCGAUUAAUUAACUAUCAUCCGCAGUUCCACUCCACAUCAAAUAAAUAUUUUUUAUCCCCGUGGUGGCCCAUUUCUCAAAAACUGGUGAGAGUUACAAAAUUCUAAUCUCCAAAAGAAAAGAAAUGCAGGUGAAGUUGAGAAGCAUUUGAUUUGCAACGGAAGAUCAUUAAUAUAAUGUCAGUCUUUAUUGUUUGGGUAAAUUUCCCUUUAGUCUAUGGAGUUAGGCAUUAAUUCUUAGAUCAGUAUUUAUGAUUCGAAAAAUCUUUAUCAUUACUUUUAUUAGAGCUUAAAAAAAAAGUUUUGGGCUAAAAAGUUAUUUUUUAAUUAAUCUAAAUAUUUUUAGAUUAGUUUUAAACAUACCAGCUAAGUAACAAUUUAGCUGUCUACUAACUAUUUCUCAAAUAGUUGAUAAAUAUAAUUUUUAAGUAACGAUUUUAAUAAAAAAAUAAUAUGAAUUUUGUAUAAAAACACCCAUAGAGUAAAAUUCACGGGCAAAGCUACAUUGCAACAUGCGUUUGGUACCCCUCUCUUUUGUCUUUUUAAAGGUCAAUUAUCAUAGUGUCCUGUUAUUUGUUAUAAAAAUGAAAAUGUUGAAAUUUUUUGAAGUUUUACGCAUUAGUCCUGCACCUACAUAGCAUCAUUUUUCUCAUCCAUUUUGCACCAUCAAUGACAUCAUUUUUCUCACCCAUUUUAAUUAAAAGGUAAUUAAAAUUAUUUUCCAUAUAGAAACAGAAUAAUAAAAUAAAAUUUUUAUUCUUAUUUUUUAAUUAAUUAUAAAAAGAUAUUUUGUAUUAAAAAAUAAACAAUCACUAGUGAGUACUGUUUCUUCGCGUGCAAUGACAUUUUUAAUUGAAAGGGGACAUGAAGGGUUCCAUUAUAUUUGAAAUUGGAUGAUUUACUUAAAGAUAGUCUCAAUGCUAGCAAAUGGUGAUAUUUAAAGUUGCAUGCUCUUUCUAAAAUAACUACAACAAUAACUAUAGGAGUUACAUUACACUACCACCUUUUCUUUUCUUUUCUUUUUUUUUUUUAAUUUAGAGACCCUCAAUUUGGUUGUUAAAGGCAAUGAACCUUAAAACGUAAUGUAGGAAGCAUAUUAGAUAAAAUAAAUUAGAAUUUACUAGAAAUUAUAAUAUUUGGGUCAAUUUAAAAUUUAGUAUUUUAUUAAAAUUUAUCUUAUUUUAUUAAGCUUACUUGAGUCAUAUUUGUAAUUCUAAUCUAAUUAGAAUUUUAGAUUAUUUCUCUUAUUUGAGAAAGAUCAGCUACUAUUAUAUAUAUAAAUUUGUUAUUCUUAAUUUAUGAUAACAGACACAAACUUCUUAUUAAUAAUUUUUAAUUUUUUCAUAAUUGAGAUAUCUUCUCCUUGGUGAGAGCAUCUUUUUAAAGUUUUCAAGACAUAAAUCAUAUUAGAGCUUUUUUCUGUACCAGGCAGAGCAUUCUUGACCACCAACUCCGUACAUUAAUUCCAUCAAGUUAAAAAAAAAAAAAACCCAACAAAACCCGAAGCCGCCAUCACAUCCGCGCCACACGGCUACUGCCGCCACUGGUUUCUCUUCUUUUCGGUCGAUCCUCUCUCCCAUCCGAAAGCCUUCGCGCCGUCAAUCAUAACCCAACCCAUAAAACCACCAUCCCGUCACCAUAGCCACGGGAAACUAGCCAAAACAGCCACUGAACCACCACGAAAAUUCGCCUCUCUAUUCGCUGCAAUCCGCCGCGAUUCACAGCCUCCACCACCACCCAUUCGUCCACGAUCAUCAGCUCUUUCUUUUCAACCCACUCACGCUGCCAACCCCCAGCUGGAUCGCCGAAAACCGAAACCAACCUCCACCCGCUACUUUAACUCAACUUUUCGGUCAAAUCACAACUAUUUGAGACAAACCACCACUACCAUCACACUCAGGACCAUCAAAUCUUCCAAAUCCACCUAUCCUAGGCCAAUUUUUUGACCACCGUCGCCGGCAACACCAACUUUUGCCUAUUUAUAAUUUUGCCCAUUUACUUUUCUAUACUUAUACUAUUACCUAUAAUUUUAUGUUCUUUAAAAAACACCCAAAAACCAAACAAACUUAUAAAAAAAUAAAUAAAUUAGAAUUUACUAGGAAUUAUAAUAUUUGGGUCAAUUUAAAAUUUAGUAUUUUAUUAGGAUUUAUCUUAUUUUAUUAAGUUUACUUGAAUCAUAUUUGUAAUUCCAAUCUAAUUAGGAUUUUAGAUUAUUUCUCUGAUUUGAGAAAGAUAAUGAUUAAUUUAGCUAUUGUUAUAUAUAUAGGCUUGUUAUUCUUAAUUUAUGAUAACAGACACAAGCUUCUCAUUAAUAAUAUUCAGUUUUUUCUCAAUUAAAAUAUCUUCUCUUUGAUGAGAGUCUCUUUCUUGAGUUUUCAAGACGUAUGAUAGAACGAAAUCUAGUAUUGCUUCCGCCCUGCGUUAAAACGUCAUCUAAUCAUAGGGUCUUAUUAUAGUUGUUUUGCAUUGGAAGGCUCAUCUAUCGCCGACAUAUCUAUUUAUCCGGCAACAUUGCCACCAUUACAUUGAUCGAAGAAUUUUGAAUACUUUGAUAGUUUUUAUUUUUCUAUUCACUCACGUCUAUUUCUUAGUGAUGAUACCAUCAUUGUUGUCAUUGGUGGUGCAAUAUUUUUUAGCAAUAUUAUUUUGGUUUUUCAUUUGAUUUACAAAACUUAAAUAUUAAAUAUAAUAGUCAAUUUUAGUCUCAUACACUUAAAUAUUACUAAUAUUCAAGUUCAUGGAUGGAUAUUGAAUAAAUCAAAUUCAGAGUAUUUUAGAUGAAUAUUAUCCAAUCUAUUCAGAUCAGAUACUUAGACAUCGAACUUGAAUGGAUUUGUUUACUCUUUCUAGCUAUUAACUUGAUUAAUAAUUCUAUUGGGUUUGUUUUUAAAACUCCUAAUAUGAUAACUCAUUCAUGACACAAUUAAUUAGUCAAUUAAUUAUAUUAAUUGACUUCUAUUUUAAUUGAUAGAUAUGUGUUGAAUUGCCAUCUCUAUUGUUAUCCAUGUGUGAUGUUAGCAAGAAAGAAGAAAAAAUAGAAAAUACUUAUUUUUAGUUUAUUUUUCUAAAGAAAUAUUUAAAUUAUUUUCAAAUAGAGUAAUUGUUUAGAAUUUUUUUACCCUUCUCUCUGAUAAGUUAAUGACUAUUUAAACAGUUGGGGUGGAGUAACAAAUACCAAUUUAUUUAAGCGUGCAAUUAAAUUAUUAUUAUUUAUUUAAGGACAAAAACUCAUUGUUAAAAAAAAAGAUUUUACAAGUUAAUAAACUAACAUUUUAUUAUUACUAGUAAAUUAACAUAUUUUUACUAUAUAAUUAAAUAGUUGAUAGUAUGUUUAAUAAAUAUUAUGUUACAAAAAAAAAUCAACUACAUAGAAUAUGAAAUUAAAUUUAUUUUUGUAUUUUGUAUAUUUCAUCUACUUGAGAUAAUAAAAUCUCUUGUGUUGAAAAACAAAAUUAUGGGUUUUGAACAUUGUUCACAUAGGUGAGAGAUAAUUGGUUGCCAUUAUGUUAAAUUAAAAAAAAAAUCAUAUUUAUACUUAUCACUAAUUAUGGUUAGUAAAUAAUAUACAUGCAUAGUUUAACUAUAUAACAAAGUAGUUAAUUUAUUAAUUUAAAUAGAUAUUAAUAAAUGUAAGAAUAAGUCAUUUAAUUGGAAAUCUAUUUCAAUGGAGUUAAAAAAAAAAAAAGAGAAUAUUAUGGAUUUAUAUGUCAUAAUUUCAAAACUUUUGAUUGUUUUUAUUUUGCAUGAACAAUAAGGGUCUUUGAUAUUAAUAACACAAUAAUCACAUCUCAGCCAUUAUGCAAUUCUUACGUUAAAUCCAACGGUAAGUUUGAAAAAGAUAAAAAAUAGGGUACCAAACCCCAUGGGUAUUGUAGCUGGACCCAAAAUUCACUCAACUUCAAAAUUACAAUUACAAGUGUUUUCAGAACUGUGGCUUACGGAAAAGCUAAACCAUGCUAGGUCUUGAAUAUGAAUUACCACCCAACACACUCAUUUUUAGCUUACACAGAGUGAAUUAUAAAAAUUUCAUGAUACAUGAAUAAUCACGAUUUAUUUUGAUUUAGAAAUAGAAACUUAAAAAGGCAUUACAGAUAUUGUAUGAUACAGUCAGUUUCCUACAUUAAUUACUCAGUUUCUUGAGAUUAAUAUAUAUACAACUUGUGCCUUCAAUUACUUUCCAGUGUUUUCUACUCGCGCAUUGAAAAAUUUAAUACAAAAAUAGGGACCAGCAAGGGCGGCAGCUCUCCUAAUAAAUCUUAUUUUUUUACAUUAUUAAUUUUGAAUUUCAAUCAAAUUUUUUAUUUGCCCCCUAAAUAAAGCUUCUGAUUCGCACCCAUGAUGAGCUUUAGGUAAAAUAUAAUAAUUAUAUUUUCAUCACACAUAUUACCUUAAAUAAGUAGAUUAUAUACAAGAUAACAAGUAAUUAUAAUCUACUUAUGAUAAUUAUUCUUGGGAGUUGUCGUAAACAUAAUUAUAAUAGGUCAACCAAUAUAUGUGACUCAUUUAAGAAUAAAUUAACAUAGUCUGUCUGUCACGUUUUAAAUUAAUUUUUAUUUUUUAAAAAAAUUAAAUGUGUUAAGCAGGUCAACACAAUUAGACACGUUGAACAAACAUGUCAUAUUAAUAAAUGAGCCGCGUUAUGUGUGAUGAAUUUUUGUAUUCUCGAAGGCAACUUGGAGAACAUUUUCUUAUUUUGUUCAGUCUUAUCAUUUCGUUGACGUUGAUUCCUUUGCUUUUGACCAUAAACAGAGGCAAGGGUUGAUAUCCAAGAAGUUCUCUUCCUUCCAUUUGACCCCACAGGUAAGCGAACAGCUCUGACAUAUAUCGACAGUGAAGGUAAAAUGCAUAGAGUCACCAACUAAUAGUAUGAUUGUCAAAAGCUAAGAGUAUGUUCUAGGACUCCGAAAUGCCAUUUGAUGUAAUUUAUGUUUUUAUUUUGACUUUCAGAUUUUAAACCUUGUGUACAACAAAUCAGAGAUGGGACGCAGAGUCAAUGCCGUGAUUAAUAAGUUUGCAGAACGAGGAUUACGAUCUCUUGCAGUGGCAUAUCAGGUAUAUGAAUUACCUAUGUCAUUGUUCUCUAAGUCCUAUCUUCACAUCACCAUAGCGGUGCAUUACUUCAAUUGGAAUUUGUAUUAACAAAGUCUAUAUUUAUUAAUUUGGUUUCAGGAAGUUCCUGAAGGAUUAAAAGAGAGCUCAGGAAGCCCAUGGCAAUUUAUUGGACUCAUUCCUUUGUUUGAUCCUCCUAUAUGAUAGUGCAAAAACAAUAAGAAUGGCACUGAGAUACAGCAAUUGGGGUGGAGAUACAGGUGAUUGAAAGAGCACCACAAGAUUUGUGUUUUUUAUGAGAGAUUUUGCUUUCACAUGAAUGUCAGGGAAGCAACUUAUUGUUACACUUUCUACCUAUGAAGUUGAGAACGUAACUACAACAUCAAGUAUUUGUCAUACAAUCUAGCUAAAGAGCUCAUUAAAGGAUUUGGGUUUGUACAAGAAGAGCUUACAGAGAUUUUCAUUGAUAACAAUCCACAGUUACCUUAACUAAGAAUCGUCUCUUCUAUUAUCCACGUAAGCAUAUUGACUCUCGCAACCAUUUCAUAUGGGAGUACAUUAAAAGAAGGAAAUACAAGCAAAGUAUGUCAAAUCACAUGAUCAAAUUGCUGAAAUAGUAUUUCUUUAUUCCAGGUUCCUUUAUAUUUGCUUUGAAUCAUUAUGUUUAAACAUUACUUCGGUGAUCUUUAACCUUUUUUAUUUUAAAAAAUGGCAGGAACACACUCCCCUUUUGAAUUUUUUUUUUUCUAUGAAAGAAUCAUAAGAACAAUUAAUUCCUACAAGAUACACUUUUGGUAGAAAAAGUUUUCCCAAUUCCAACAAAUUUUCCCCUUGCUUUUGGAUUUCAAAAUUGCUCGAAUCGAAUCCUUUCAAUUUCUAUGUCUUUUUCCUACUUAUUGAUUGGUAUUAACCCUAGAUCCUUGCCCUUGAGAAAUGAAUAAAUACUUUAUACUUGAGCUCCAUCCUGUACUAGCAAGAAGAUUUCUUCAGAUCGAGAUAUUUAUUGGGUGUUAUAAAAUAAGUUUAAGGAUGUGUUGGAUCAUAAACUUAUUUUUUUAUCUAAGUCCAAAAAACACAGUCUAGCUCAUCUCAUAGAAUUUUCUAAGUUAUGUGAGCUUGGGUGAUAGGUAGAAUUUGUGGUUGUAGGUUUAGUAGGUAAGAUUAAAUAUCCAUUAUAUUCCAUAAAAGACAACCAGAGUAAAUGAUAGUUAGAGUUAAUAAAUUAGAAAUAGUAGGGGUUAAAAUGCCACGCGAAACAUGAUUCUGUUUAGUAAUUAAAUAAGCAAUUUGGAUGAUUCACUUGAAAUAGGAUUAUAUUUAAUAAUUAAAUAAGCCUGAUCAAUCUAGCACUUUAAUUCAAUAAUUCAUUAAGACACUAGUAAAUCUUAGUCUCUGAAAAAUGGCAUUACAAUAACCACCCCCAAGCUUCUAUUAUCCGAACUUGCAUCUAAUCUUAAAUGGGUUCCCUCUAAUUUUGAUUUUUGUUUUAAUUAUUUAAGUUAAAUUGUUAAAUUCAUCUUGCUAACUAUUUUUGAAUUGUUUUUUUUUCUUAGGAGAAUGGACAUAAGCUAUAGUAAUUCAGUCUACACAAUUAAUGAUUCCAGUGUUGAAGAUGAUGAUGUAAAUAGAGAUGACCAAUGGGCCGGGCAGCAUGAGGCACGACACGGGCACUGCACGUGUCUGUACAGCAUGGCAAGACACGAGCACGUUUCAGUAGGGCACGUGCGUGCCGUGCCAUACCCAGAAUUUUAGGCACACGGGCCUUAAAAGUACGGUACAAUUAAAGAUGUACUAAAGCACGGCACGCAAAAAGUCACAUAAUAAGCACGCUUUAUUAGUGGGCUAAGUACGCGGCAUGUGAGCCAUCAAUAGUACGUGGACCAUAGUAUAUCAAAGUAAAAUUUUUUAAUGAAAAAUAAAUAUAAAAUAUCAUGAAUUUGCAAAUAUCUUGCAAUUAAAUUUUUUAAUAUAUUUUUUUAGCAUAGGCUUUUAAAAAUUAAUUUAAGUCCUAGUUUAAAUAAAUAUUCUAAUUUUUUAUGUUUAUAAUCUAUUAAGUGAAUAAAUAAAUAUCAUGAUUUUAUAAAUGAUAAAUAAAAAAUUUUACGACAUUAAUAUUUCAUUUAUGAAAUCAUAACUUAGUUAAUAGUUAAUUAAGAUAUGUUUCAUUUGUGAAUUAAAUAUUUUUCAUAUUUAUGAACAAAAAAAAUAAAAUUAUGAAAAAAAUAUUUUUGUGAUAAAUUAAAAAUUACAUUUUCAUUCAAUGGAGUUCAAGUGCAAUUAUAAUUUUAGUAGUUCAAAUAAAAUUAGGUGUAAUUAUUAUUUUAAGAUUGUAAUUUUAUUUUUCAUUAAUCAUUACUAUGAUCUAUGAAAUUAUUAUUAUUAUUAUUAGGCUAGUGGGCUUUUUAAGGCACGCUGGACAUGUGGGCUUAAAAGAAAAAAAAAGAUUGGUGGGUUUUUAUACCGGCCCACGGGUCUGUGUGGGCCGAUGUUUGGUGGGCUGGAACAGGCCAUUGGCCAUCAUUUGAUGUAAAUGACAUAAUCAAAAUGGAAGAUAAGAUUGAAAAAAGUUUCAAAUUAGCAAAACCAAAGGGACCACAACAAAGAAAACUAACUUCAGAAGUUUGGACAUUGUUCUAUAAGGUUUCAUGAGAUAAAUAUCCAGACAAUAAACCAAGAGCAUUUUGUAAAAAAUGUGGCAUUAAGUAUGUUGUUGUGAGCAAUAUUAUCAUUAUUGUGUUUUUUUUCAUUAACUCUAAACGAUGCUUCAAGUAAUGAUGUUUGUGUUGCACUGUUAAAAAGUCAACUGAGAUUAAAGAAUACUUUGAUGUGUAAUGGGGAUUUCUUUAUAUUUGAUGUUAUUCUCAUAUUAUUAUAUUGAUUGUUCAAAAAGGAUUGAAAGAAAUUGAGCAAGAAAUAGAAAAAGCCCAUGAGAGUAUAAAAUAUGUCAAAGGGUCACAAAUUAGAAAAAGAAAAUUCUUAGAGUGCGUUAAGUAAGUAUCUCUAGAUGACAAGAAAAGAUUAAGACAAGAUGUUCCUAUAAGAUAGAAUUCAACUUUUCUUAUGCUUGAUAAUGUUAUGUAUUACAAAAAUGCUUGCUAUCAUUUACAAUGAUGUGAUUCUAAUUACAAGAGUUGUUUUUUGAAUAAGAGUAGAGGAAAAUAGAGAAAAUUGACAAAUUCUUGUCUAUAUUUUAUGAGAUCAUACGCAUUCUUUCCAGGUCAAAAUACCCCAGCUCAAGUUUGUAUUUUCAAAGGUGUUUGCGUCUAAUGUUGUUUUGGAUCCAUUAUUGCAUAGUGAGGAUGUAUUUCUGAAAACUAUGGCAUAGAAAAUGAUCGAAAAGUUUGAGAAGUAUUGGUUUGAUUUUUGUACCAUUUGGUCAAUAGUGGUCAUCUUGCAUCCUCGAUACAAGAUGACAUUCAUUAAAUUUGCCUAAGACAUUACAUGUGAUCAAAAUUUAGAGGAGUUAGAACUUGUUCAGGAUAAGUUUUUUUCAGCUUUUAGUGAGUACAAUUUUAUCACACUAUCUUCCUCCACCACAUCCAUACUCACUCAAAUGAGUGAUGUCGGUUCAAGUGUGGGACAUAAUGACAAUAGUUAAAAUACACUUAAUCAAUGGACCAUGGAACUAUUUAAGGUACAUUUACAAUUUUCUUUUAUGUUUAUUGUAAAAAUUAUUAUUUCCUUAUUUGUACUUGUUUUGGAUUUUGACUAUUCUUAUUUCUUAAUUAUUUUGUAGGAGUUUGAUGAUCUUGAUAGCAUGGAUUGUCAUGCCUAUGUUAGAAAAUCUGACUUAGAGUCUUAUUUAUAUCAAUCAAAAAUGGAUAGAAAGAUUGAUUUAAACAUUCUAAGUUUUUUGAAAGGAAACGGAUUUCGUUAUCCUAACCUUUCUUACAUGGCUCGUGAUAUCUUAAGCAUUCCUAUAUCCCCUGCUGCAUCUAAAUCAGCUUUUAGUGUUGCCAAUCAAGUUCUUGAUCAGUUUUAAAGUGCAUUGAAAUCAAAGCUUGCCCAAGCAAUUGUUAUUAUAAGAGAUUGGAUAUUUGGAGAGAUUGUAAGACUUUCACAUGAAACUAAUUUAUUUUUCUUUUAUAAUAUUAUAUUCAAUUGUUUCUAAUUAAGAUUUAUUUUUAUAAAAUUAGAGCAUGUUUGGUACUUCUCAUUAUAUGGUAUUAAAACCCCUCAAAGUAUUAAAGGAUUAUAAUACCAUGUUUUGUAAUUUUAAUGUAUAGUAUUGUAAUGUAGUCAAAUAUCUAAUUUAUGUGGUCAAAGCCACACAUACUAAAUCUAUGGGGGAAUCGGGUUUAUGCGGGCUUGUAAAUUACAAUUAUUUUGAGACAAGGUUCUCCCUAUCGUUUGCGUCUCAGAUGAAACAAUCGCUAUUGCAAAGGCAUGGCAGGGAAAGAGGAAGAAGCCAAGAUAAAAGCACUCAAUAUACUUGUUGAGCCACUCAUUUACCAAACCAAUUCUUACAAAUUCCUCAAAUCCUCCAUCAACAAAGCCUCCAAGAAACUGAAGACCAUAAAAAUUGAAAACCUAGCUAAAAUCUCCACCAAAAAGUCCACGACCAAAAUGAUAGACCACGUCAAGAUUAGCCUCAAAGAAUCUAGCCAUGAUUUGUCCUUGUUCAAGUUCAAAUAUGAAACCAUUGUCACCCUCAUAUUGUUCGAAGAGAAAGUUGUGGUGAAAUUAUCGUUCAAGCCCUGUGGGAUUGUCAUGAAAAUGAGCCAUCGUAGGUUACAAGGCGACAUGUUAAAGUGAGAGUAAAAUAGAAACUUACACUUUUGCCACAUCAUUUCGAUCUGGGAUGGAUUGGCCGAUGAAAUUGCUUGGAAUUCAGUAGUUGGGGCCUAGGGUAUCAUCAAAUUUACGCAUGUUAAUAAAACAGAAGUAGAGAAGCAUCAAACGCCACUCAGCAACUUAAGUAAAUUGGAAUGUGCAAACGAAAUGGAACUUGUGAUUGAUAACCAAUCAAUAUUUUAGUGAAAAAAAAAUUGAAGCAGUGAUUUCAACGCUUGAUAAAUACGUUACCAUUUUAGACUCUAAAAUGCAGUCUUUAUACCAUCAUCGUCCAUGUUCUUGAAUAAAUAAAGCUUUUCUAUUUAUUGCUUUUUUAAAAAAAUCUCCCCAUCGUUAUUUGAAUGAGCUAGCGGCUUUUAUCUUUAUUUCACAAGUUAUAUAUUUAGAAAAAAAAAAUGUUAUGCAGUUGAAAUUUUAAAAUUUGUUAGUUUUACAUAUGUUAUAUGGAGAAUUAUAAUUUUUUUUUUACAUUUAUACUAAAAAAAUUAAUGCAAAAGUUCUAAAGUUCAAAUUUUCUAUAUUUAGUAUUUUCCUAAGUAUUGUACUAAUAAAUAUUAUUUUCUCAAUAUAUAAUUUAAAACAAUCACCAAAAAAGAUUAAUACAAUACAUACAGCACCAAAAAUAAUAUAAUUAAAAAUUAAUAUAGUACAUUGUAGUACUAAAUGUUGUAUGGUAUUAUUAUAAUACAGUUCUAAUGUAAUACAGUGUAAUAAAUAAACUUGUAUUAAUAUAAUACAAUACAGUGCGUCAAACACACCCUUAUUGUAGAAAAUUUUGAUGUCAUUGUGGCCCAACUUACUGAAAACAUUAUGAACAUGAGUAGUAAUAGUGCUCGAUCUCAAGAGAUGAAGAGAGUGCCAAUGAUGCUAGUGACAAUGUGGGAGUGUGAUAGGCAAAGUUUUAUCUUGCUGACUUUUCUUGCCUUUGUAAGCUUAAUUAUUAUUUCCUUAUCAAUACUACAAAAAUUAGUAUAUAAUUGAUAUUUUAAAAUAUUACAAUGACUCUUAUCAGUGUUGCAACAUGUUAAUAUUAUUCUAUUUACCUUUUUCUUGUAGGACUAUUGUUUUCAAUGUGACAAAAACAAAAUGAAGAGAAUUAAAGAAAUCACCUUGGUUUAUAAUUUGAAUUUUAAUUGGGGUUAGUUAAUUAAGGGCUUGGGUCGGGCUUUUUCAAGCUCAAGCCCAAGCCCAUUCCCAUUAGAUAAGAGUGAAAGGGUUGGACCUGGGCCGAGCCCACUACGGGCCUGGGUUGGGCUUAGGCCGAACUUGAACUUUUACUUUUUCGUUCAAUUUUUUAAAAAAUUGUUGUAAACUUGAAAUAAAUUAAUACUAAUCCAGUUGUUAUAAUUAACAAUAAAUUAAAGAAAAUAAAUAUUUCAAAAUAAAAUAAUAAAUAAAGUAAAUAAAAAUUUAGAGAUUUAAUUUUUUAAUAUUGAAUUCUCUAAUUUAAGCACUCUCUUAAUUAAUUAACACUUAAAAGAGAAUUUAGUAUUAUAAUUUUAAGUUUUUUUAAAUUUAUUAUUGAUAAUAAAUUAGGAAUUUAAGCUUACUUUUUUUUAUUAUUUUUCAAAUUUGAAUUUAUUAUUCUAAUCCCGAAAGUUCAAUUCAUUUAAUAAAUCAUAAAGUGUUAACCUAAUUCAUUUACGAUUCGAUUUAAAUUCGAUUCGUUUAUUCGUUUGACCACCCCUCCACACCUAACAAAAUUGGCAUCUCCACAUAACUUUAUGGAACCUCUAAUAACCUUAUGAAUUGCUGAAUUCCUAACUACAGUCUCACUUAAAGCUUUUUAACUCUUCGAGUGGGUAGUGAGUUCAAGUACAUAUUUUGUAGUAGAUUUUAUAUUUAAUUAGUUUGACAAUAAUUUAGUUUCUUCCUCACUUACGUGAAUAUAGUUUGAACUUUAAGCUUUUUAUGUCAUCCCAAAAGAUUAGACCGGUUAAGCUUAUUAGCAAUUUGGAUCCAAGUUUAUACCAAUCCGCAGGCGUUUUAUGUACAGUUAACAUUAAUUUACACGUUAUUUUUGUAUCUAAUAACUACUUAUCACAAUCAUACAUAUAAAAAGUCAUCACAAAUGAAUCCACAGUGCGCCAGCUGCAUAAAUUGACUUAGAAUGUUGGGGUUUAUGUUUUCCUUACACUUGUCCUGAGUGUUUUGGUAAGACAAGUCAUCUUCUUUUUAUAAUAUGGAGCCCUAAACAAACGGCCUGGCCAUGCAGAGACACUUUACUUACUACAGUAGUGUGGAUACAAUCAUUUACAGAAGGGUUGUUUUCACUGAAAUUAUAAAUUAAUCUACAAGGAAGAAAAUAAGAGGAAAAGUCAGAACAUGAGAACAGAUCAGCACAAAUAAAAAUAAAAAAUUUAAAAAAUGAAGGCAAGAUAGAACAUACAGACACAAAAAAAGAAAUCUUGCACUGAAAGAAAGCUGCCGCUUAUAGCUUCUAGAGAGAGAGAGAGAUUAAAACUAUUCUCUCCUUCUAUCUCUACAAACAGAGAAUUUUCUCAAAUUAAAAGGUGAAAAGCAAAACACAUUACUCUGUUUUUGAGUCUCUCUCUGUGUCUUUCCAUCGUUUUUUUUUUUUUCCUGUGAUUUUGUUUUAACAUGAUUUGUUUAAUUACUUGGUUUUUAAGGGGUUUGAAGGAAGGCAACGAAAGUGAAGAAAGUGAGUUUAUUGAGAAGAAAUGGAGAGCAUAACGAAUGAAGCUGUGGAUUUGGUAUUGAAAGUUUGAAACAGAGUUUAUCAUCUCGGUUCUUGAUUGCUUUAUUACUGUUUUUUGCGUUUUUGUUUUUAGUUUACCAUUAAGAAAAAGACACCGACGCCCCUAUGGCUUUGCAAGAUAUAGUCGUGGUGAUCUUUUUAUUUUUGGAAAAAUCGUUACAUAGACUGAUAGAUCUCUUUGAUGACAAUUAUGUUUUUUGAUUGUAAUAAAUUUUAUCGGAAAAAAGUUGGCUAAAAAGUUAUCUAUGUGAUAAUUUCCAAAAAUAAGAGUAUGUUUAUGACUAUUUUGUCACGUUUUCUUCAGUGUUAUUAAGUGUUUUUGCUUUCUAGGUAUUUUGUUUUGUGAGGAAGUUCAGGUUUUUGGUCUGCAGGAAAACGUGCCGACGGACGAGGUUUUUGAGACUUUGAAGUGCAGUCAAGAGGGCCUUUCAACGGAGGCUGCUGAGCAGAGACUUUCCAUAUUUGGCUACAACAAGCUUGAGGAGAAAAGGGUAAUUUUACUUUUUGCUUUUUUUUUUUCCUUGCUAGCUAUUUUAUUGGAAAGUUAUAUUAAUAAAAAAAAGAUACCCUUUUAAUGAUUGUAAGACAUUUUGCUUUUGUUGAUUGUAUUUUUUUUAUUAUUAUUAUUUGCAUUUUAUUUUACUUAUUUAUUUAUUUAUUUUUGGCAGGAAAGUAAAAUUUUGAAGUUUUUGGGAUUUAUGUGGAACCCUCUCUCAUGGGUCAUGGAAGCUGCAGCUAUCAUGGCAAUCGUACUUGCAAAUGGAGGAGUGAGUAUUGAGUACUGUUAUUCAAAUUAUAUUUUAAAAAUUUGUUUUAGAAAAAAAAAUGGUGUUUUCUAUUUGAUGUUUUUGGAAAUGAAAAUAUCUUUAUUAACUCAUUUUGUAAACAACAUCUUACUGUUGGCCAUUUCAUUUUUGCAGGGUAAACCUCCUGAAUGGCAAGAUUUUACUGGGAUAGCAACCCUGCUUCUUAUCAAUUCAACAGUUUGUUUCAUUCAGGAGAACAAUGCAGGUGCUGCCAGCGCAGCUCUCAUGGCUCGUCUUGCUCCUAAAGCUAAGGUACUGACUACGCUUGAAUAGUUGUCAGGAUAAGAUUAUUGGUGAGUUAGUGCAUAUGCAUAUCUAAUAAAUUUAUUAUUAAGUUCAUAUCAACUUAACUCAAUGAGAAUUGAAAUCAGAAACUGUUAUGUCAUAUUAAUUUGUAAAAUAAUACUCCGUAAGAAGAGAUUGUGGCUCUAGGCUCUAGCAUUCCUGUAAUUGGAGAUAUUAUUUCAGGUCCUUCGAGAUGGAAACUGGAAGGAGGAAGAUGCAGCCAUUCUUGUCCCUGGUGAUGUCAUCAGUGUUAAGCUUGGUGACAUUAUUCCUGCUGAUGCUCGUCUCUUCGAAGGUGAUCCAUUGACAAUUGAUCAGGUGAGCUUUUGCAAACUUUGUAUGUUUGAAUUGAUUUGGUAAAGUUGAGCUGUUUAAUUUAACUUCUUUCAAUUUGUACGUUGCAGUCUGCUCUCACAGGCGAGUCUCUUACCGUAAGUAAGGGUCCUGGUGACUGUGUAUAUUCAGGCUCUACGUGCAAACAAGGGGAGAUUCAAGCUGUGGUCAUAGCCACUGGUGUUCGCACCUUCCUUGGCAGAGCUGUACAUCUUGUGGAUACCACAAAUCAAGUGGGUCACUUUCAAAAGGUAAGAAAACACGAAUUCACAUUCCUUAAGACUCUUUUUUUAUGUUUAAUUUCACAUUAUCAUUCACCGAAACGUUUUUUCUUUUUUGUUGGGGGGGGGCGGGCUUGUUUACAGAUCUUGUCUGCAGUUGGGGAAUAUUGUAUUUGUUCAAUUGCACUGGGGUUAAUAGCAGAGAUCAUUGUCAUGUACGCGAUUCAACACAGGGAAUACCGCACAGGACUUAAAAAUUUACUUGUGCUUCUUAUUGGAGGAAUUCCUAUUGCCAUGCCUACUGUUUUAUCAGUGACAAUGGCGAUUGGUUCCCAACGAUUGUCUUUGAAGGUUGGUCUUAGUUGUUAUUUAUAAUGAUGUUACUUUAUAUGGUCAUUAGUUGACGAUUGCAAGCAUAUAUGGGCUAAUUACUGCAGGGAGUUAUCACAAAGAGAAUGAGUGCAAUAGUCGAUAUGGCCGGCAUGGAUGUGCUUUGCUGUGACAAAACUGGAACUCUAACUUUUAACAAAUUAACAGCUGACAAGAAUCUAAUUGAGGUUGGUGUAAAUUUUGCUCACUGUUAGAAUUACAAUGUGUAUUUCAACAUUUGGCCUGGAUCAUUGUUCAGAUCUUUGCUAGAGGAGUGGACGUAGACGAUGUUGUUCUGAUGGCAGCUCGAGCCUCCCAAGUGGAAAACCUAGAUGUAAUAGAUGCUGCUAUAGUAGGAAUGUUGGCUGAUCCAAAGGAGGUAUAUUUAUGAAUUCUAGAAUUUCAUGUAUCUAUUUUAAUCCAAAGAAGGUAUAUUUAUGAAUUCUAGAAUUUCAUGUAUGUAUUUUAUUCUAGUUAAGCUUAACUGUUGUUGAAAUUUUGUUUUCUCAAAGGCAACUUGUAGAAGAUUUUCUUAUAUUUUCGUCUUAUCAUUUUGUUGACAUUGAUUUCUUUGCUUUUGACCAUAAACAAGGCUAGGGCUGAUAUCCAAGAAGUUCACUUCCUUCCAUUUGACCCCACAGGUAAGCGAACAGCUCUGACGUAUAUCGACAGUGAAGGCAAAAUGCAUAGGGUCACCAAAGGUGCUCCAGAGCAGGUAUGAUUGUCAACAACUAAUAGUACGUUCUAGGAUUCUGAAAUGCCAUUUUACUUAACUUAUGCUUUUAUUUUGAUUUUCAGAUUUUAAACCUUUUACACAACAAAUCAGAGAUAGGACACAGAGUCAAUGCCGUGAUUAAUAAGUUUGCAGAACGAGGAUUACGAUCUCUUGCAGUGGCAUAUCAGGCAUAUGAAUUACCUAUGUCAUUGUUCUAGGUCCUAUCUUUGCAUCACCAUAGCAGUGUAUUACUUCAAUUGCAAUUUGUAUUAACAAAGUCUAUAUUUAUUAAUUUUGUUUCAGGAAGUUCCUGAAGGAUCAAAAGAGAGCUCAGGAAGCCCAUGGCAAUUUGUUGGACUCAUUCCUUUGUUUGAUCCUCCGAUACAUGAUAGUGCAGAAACAAUAAGAAGGGCACUGAGUCUUGGGCUGAGCGUGAAAAUGAUCACAGGUGCUUCUCCCAUUUAUUGUAUUAUAUGUCUUCCUAAUUUGUUAUCUUAAUAUUUAGUCUUUGUUUAGGCAGUAGGCACCAUUUAUAUAUAGAGAAAUUUUGUUGGUUCUGGUUUUGUUUAAUCCUUCUAUCUGAAAAAAUGCUAAUAUGUCAGUUUUCUUUUGCAUUGCUGGUGGAAUCUAAAUGCUCUUAUGGUUUUACUUUUUUAGAAUGUUUUAAUUGGCGUUUUCUUUACCUUAAGAUAGAUAUUCCAUCUGUUUGACUUUUCCUCUUUCUCAGGUGAUCAACUUGCAAUAGCAAAAGAAACAGGACGUCGUCUUGGAAUGGGAACCAACAUGUAUCCUUCAUCAGCCUUAUCAGGACAGGACAGGCAUGAGUCGAUAGUUGCUUUACCGGUUGACGAGUUGAUUGAGAAAGCUGAUGGGUUUGCUGGUGUUUUCCCUGGUACGAAGCUUGAUCUCCUAAUUUGCAUUGAGUAGUCAUCCACAAACUGAAGUUAGUGUUGUAUAGCUUUUAUUGAACUUGAUGUAUGCAUCACUACAUCCUACAACCUUUUCAUUAUAUUUUAAUCAUACAUAUUUCUUUUUUUAUACCUUUGUUUACACAGCUGUCCUUAUUUUCUUUAUAGAGCACAAAUAUGAGAUUGUGAAGCAUUUGCAAGCUAGGAACCAUAUCUGUGGAAUGAUCGGUAAUGGCGUCAAUGAUGCUCCUGCUCUAAAGAAAGCAGACAUUGGCAUAGCUGUUGCUGAUGCAACUGAUGCAGCUCGUAGUGCUGCCGACAUUGUCCUGACAGAACCUGGCCUUAAUGUUAUCAUUACUUCUGUUCUAAUUAGUCGAGCAAUAUUCCAGAGGAUGAGAAAUUACACGGUGAGGGUUGGUUUUGAUUCUAAGGAAAAGGUGUUCUAUAGUCGAUAGUGUAGUGAAGGAUGGGAUUUGUGUGAGGGAAUUCACAACCUGUCUAAUUCUAUAUAUUCCACAUUCCUUAACCGACAAACAAACUAAUAAUUUUAAAGCUUACAUUUUACACUGCUUGAAUGCCUGGUGGUGAAGAAAGCACUGAGAUUGAAAUAACAUGUCAUUGUUCUGUAAAUUACUUUUAGAGCCUGAGGUGGAAAAUAAUAAAUAAUAUAAUAAACCAAGACGUUGGCGGUGGUGCUGUUCAUGAAAACUUGAUUUUUGUGGGCAUUGAUAACUUCUUUACACUGUCUCAGACUUUUGCAAAAUUGAAACAAGACACGAGCAUUGUUUACUUGAAUUAGUUGAUUCCCUCUUGCUCUGUCCCCACUUUUUGCUGCUUAAUUACUUUCUUUCUUGUCGCAGAUAUAUGCAGUCUCCAUUACCAUCCAUAUUGGAGUAAGUUGUUCACUGCUUGUUUCAAAUACUAUGUAGGAGAGUAUUGUGUAAUUUAUUUGGUAAUUGCAACUUUAAUCUUCUAUGAUAAUUAUUGCCCUACUGAUGAAUAUGAAAGAGUCUUCACAAUAGUAGCUUGAAUAUCUCAGCUUGACGUCUUAACUAUUUGUCUUGGUGACAGUUUGCUUUCAGGCUGCUAGCUCUCAUCUGGCAGUUUAACUUUCCACCCUUCAUGGUGCUGAUAAUUGCGAUUCUUAAUGAUGGUGUGUAUUUCCUUGACUCAGCAUGUAUAUCGUAACUGUUUGUGUUCUUUUUCAUCCAGGUGUAUCGAUUUCAAAUAAGAAAUACACUUAUCUAUUGAUAUUUACCCGGUACAUUGAUUGCCAGGUGCUAUUAUUAUGACAAUAUCAAAAGAUAGAGUGAGACCAUCUCCUCAUCCAGAAAGGUGGAAUUUGAUCCAGAUCUUUGUAACUGGAAGCAUUCUUGGUGGUUACUUGGCAAUGAUGACUGUGAUUUUCUUUUGGACAGCAUCCAGGACAGACUUCUUUCCAGUAAUGUGAUUUAUCUUUUGUGUUAUCAUGUCACCCAAUUCGGGUGUUAUGUAUGCUCGUUUUCCUUGAUUUAAUAAUAUAGAGAAUAAUAUAUGCCUUUACAUUGUCUUCAAUAAGUUGGACUGAAACUUGGUAUGCAACAUUCAGCGUACAUUUGGCGUUUCAAGUCUUAACAAAAAGGAUGUGGAUGACUGGAGAAAACUUGUCUCGGCAGUGUACCUGCAAGUGAGUUCCAUUAGUCAAGCCCACCUAUUCGUGACCCGUGCAAGGAGUUGGUCUUACGUCGAGUGUCCUGUCCUGUUCCUUGCUCUGGCUUUCUUUGUUGCUCAGCUGGUGGGUGAUAUAUGCUGUUUUCUUUGGCCUUUGUGACAUACAGAGGAUGAGUUGAUCCUUUUUAAUUCUGUGAGCAGAUUGCUACACUGAUUGCCGUCUAUGCAACCUGGAGCUUUGCUACAAUUGAAGGAAUAGGAUGGGGUUGGGCUGGUGUGAUUUGGCUUUAUAAUAUCAUCUUCUACAUUCCGCUUGAUUUUAUAAAGUUCUUCAUCCAAUAUGUGCUUAGCAGAAAAUUUUGGGAUCUUGUCAUUGAACAAAAGGUAUUGAUGGCUUGAGUUCAACAAAUUUUAUUCAAGUACUGGAGCUUAAUUUCUUGCUCACUCUCCAUGGUGUAAUUGCUAUUUUGCAGAUUGCCUUCACGACUAAAAGAGAUCUCCGAAAAGAAAAACGUGAGCGAUGGGCACAGGAGCAGACCACCCUCCAUGGGUUGCACCCUCUUGACACCAGUAUGUUCAGUGUACGAAGCAGUUACCGAGAACUUAGCCGGAUGGCUGAAGAAGCAAGAAGAAGAGCUGAGAUUGCUAGGUAAAAAUAUAAAUAUAACACCAACAAACUACAUUACUUAAUUUCUACUCUUAAAAGCCGAAAUUUAAUGCUUGGAGUGUACACUCUUAUGCAUUCACUAUUUUGAUUUUUUGUAGAUUGAGAGAACUGCAUACACUGAAAGGGCACAUUGAAUCACUGAUUAGGCUUAAAGGACUGGAUAUCGACGCAAUUCAGCAAUCCUACUCCGUCUGAUUACAGGUCAUACAUGACACAUUCAUGGGCAUGGAACAUAUGAUGAGAUUGCAGAUAUAAGCCCUUAGUCCACAAGUAAUUAUGCAAUUCAUCCUGAAAGAGUUAUGAUUGCAUAUCUGAUGUACAUAUUUGCCCAUCUGGGUUCUGUUUUUCAGUUUUACAUUUGGUGUUUGAAGAAACAAUAUGAUGGGUUUAAGUACUACACGGCCACUAUUUGUGAUACAAACCAUAGUAAGAGAUGGGUUUAAGUACUAUGCGCCUAUGCGGCUAACACUCCUGAUACAAACCAUAAUAAGAGUAAUAUAUUUCCCCACC
RNAcentral lists this long non-coding RNA (86377 nucleotides) under Citrus x clementina. Its description in RNAcentral is "Citrus clementina (C. clementina) long non-coding RNA (CCLE_LNC001848)". The stretch from base 37345 to 37451 matches the Rfam family "Plant small nucleolar RNA R71". The record is from RNAcentral. Lineage: Eukaryota; Viridiplantae; Streptophyta; Magnoliopsida; Sapindales; Rutaceae.